UUAUUAUUUGAUUAUUUGCUUCCUGUUUAGAUAUGAUUCUUUGUGUAUAAAUAGUCAUGUAGACCAAUUAUAAAGAUUAAGAGUGAAAUACAAGAAUACUCAAAAUUUUCUCCAAAAUUCUUCAUGGCACAGUUUAUAAACCUUUACCAUGGCAGAAGGUAAAAGGGUGUCGAUGACAGAAAGUAAAAGGGUGUCGAUAGCAGAAGGUAAAAGAGUCUCGAUUCCUAACUCUGAUUACUCAUUCUUCAGUGCCACAUCUGACUUUGUAAAGUCAGGUAAUGCUUCAUCUCUUCAUAAUAUUCCAUGGAUUAUCGAUUCUGGUGCGAAUAGACACAUGACAGGUUCUUCUAAAGGCUUUCUCAAUUAUUUUCCUUCCCUAACCAAAGAUAGUGUCAAAAUUGCUGAUGGCUCUUUUACUCCCAUAUCCGGAACAGGUUCUGUUAUUUGCACAUCCAAUAUUAAAUUAUCAUCUGUCCUCCAUGUUCCCCACUUUCCUGUCAACCUUUUAUCUGUUAGUGCUAUCACCAAUGUCCUUAAUUGUAAAAUUGAAUUCUUUCCUGAUCAUUGUGUUAUUCAGGAUCUUCACACAGGAAAGAGGAUUGGCAAUGGUAGGCUGCAUGAUGGCUUAUAUAUGUUGGAGGGUGAUCCAGGUUCUUCGAUAUCUCAAGCUUGUUUUGGAGAAAAUAAGGAUGUCAAUCAGGAAAUAAUACAGUGGCACAGACGGUUAGGGCAUCCAUCAUUUUUUGCCUUAGAAAAACUUUAUCCUAAUUUAUUUGCUAGAACUCUGUUUGAUUCUCUAUUUUGUGAUGCUUGUGAGUAUGCUAAACACACUAUAACAUCCUAUCCUUUGAGUCAUAAUAAAAGUCAAAUUCCUUUUGCGACUAUUCAUUCUGAUGUUUGGGGGCCUACUCAAACUGUCUCUUUGUCUGGUAAUCGAUGGUUUGUCACCUUUAUUGAUUGUUGCACUCGAAUGACUUGGGUCUAUUUGAUUAAAGCUAAAAGUGAUGUCUUUUCUUGUUUUCAAUCCUUUCAUAAGAUGGUUUGUACUCAAUUUGAUACUAAGGUGAAAAUUUUGAGAACUGACAAUGGAAGAGAAUACAUAGAUAGUAGCUUUUCUGUUUAUUUGGAGAGUAAUGAGAUAAUACACCAGACUAGUUGUCCUUAUACUAGUGCUCAAAAUGGCAUUGCUGAGAGGCAAAAUAGGCAUUUAUUGGAGGUAACUCGAUCUCUUAUGUUCACCAUGAAUCUACCCAAAGCAUAUUGGGGAGAUGCAAUUCUUGCAUCUGCUUAUCUUAUCAAUAGAAUGCCUCUCAAGACCCUUGACUUUAUGAGUCAUUUGGCGGUUCUACAAGGAAGAAUUUAUACGUUAUUCCACUAAAAGUGUUUGGGUGUGUUUGCUUUGUCCAUACUAGGACGGCAGGAAAUCUGGAUCCCAAGGCCCUUAAAUGUGUGUUUGUUGGGUAUUCUCCAACAUAGAAGGGAUACAAGUGUUAUCAUCCUCCCUCUAGGAAAUACUUAGUAUGGAUGUUACUUUUCGAGAAACUGAACCCUACUUUAGUACCAUCCACUCAUCUCUUUAGGGGGAGAAUAAUGAGCAAGAAGAGGUGAUCCCGAAUUCUGUGAUUCUGAAUGAUAUGGUUCAACUAGAAAGUUCGAGUUCUAGUAGACAGGGGGAGAUGUCCAAUCAGGGAGAGAGAACCGGUCGUUUGGACAAGCCAGAUUUGAGAAGGUAUUCGAGGAGAGACAAGGCAGAAGAAGCCAUUAUGCAGUCUACUCAGAGUCAAGAAUCUUCUCCUGGUGAGUUACCCAGUCAUGAAUUUUCUUCUGGUGAGUUACCCACAACUCUUUCUUCUGGUGAGUUACCCACAACUCUUUUUUCCGGUGAGUUAUCCACAACUCUUGAAUGUUUCAAUGACUUAGAUAAACCUAUUGCACAAAGAAAAGGGGUCAGAUCUUGCACUAAACACCCUAUUUCUAACUUUGUUUCUUAUGAAUCUUUAUCUCCUUCCUAUAGAGCCUUUGCCUUGUCUAUUUCCUCUGUGUCUAUUCCACAGGAUUGGAAGAAAGCUCUUGCAGAUCCUAAAUGGAAGAAAGCAAUGAUUGAAGAGAUGAAAGCAUUGGCUAAAAAUGAGACUUGGGAGCUUGUCACUCUCCCACCUGAGAAGAAACUCGUUGGCUGUAAAUUGGUGUUCACAGCGAAAUACAAAGCUGAUGGCACAAUUGAACGGUUUAAGGCUAGAUUGGUUGCUAAAGGAUUCACCUAAACCUAUGGAGUGGAUUACCAAGAGACAUUUGCCCCAAUUGCAAAAAUGAACUCAAUCAGAGUUUUGUUAUCUUGCGCAGCCAACUUGGACUGGGACUUGCAACAGUUUGAUGUGAAGAAUGCUUUCCUCCAUGGAGAUUUAGAGGAAGAAGUGUUCAUGGAAAUUCCUCCUGGGUUCGCUGAUGAGAAGACACAAGGAAAGGUAUACAGGUUAAAAAAGGCUUUGUAUGGGCUAAAACAAUCUCCCAGAGCUUGGUUUGACAGGUUUAGUAGAGUCAUGAUGUCCUUUGGUUACCAACAAAGCAAUGUUGAUCACACUCUGUUUAUCAAACAUCAUAAGGGUAAGAUCACCCUUCUUAUUGUGUAUGUUGAUGAUAUAGUGGUGACAGGUGAUGACAAAGAGGAAAUGGCUCAACUAAAGAGGUUGUUGGCCCAGAAAUUUGAAAUCAAAGAUCUGGGAAAACUGCAAUAUUUUCUAGGUAUCGAGGUGGCUAGAUCAGAAAAAGGAAUUUUCAUCUUCCAAAGAAAGUACAUUCUAGAUCUUUUAGAAGAAACUGGUAUGAUGGGGUGUAAACCAGCAGAAUCUCCCAUUGAAAGUAAUCACAAGCUGAAAGCAGGAACUGGUGAGUCCGUGGAUAUUGGAAGANNNNNNNNNNNNNNNNNNNNNNNNNNNNNNNNNNNNNNNNNNNNNNNNNNNNNNNNNNNNNNNNNNNNNNNNNNNNNNNNNNNNNNNNNNNNNNNNNNNNNNNNNNNNNNNNNNNNNNNNNNNNNNNNNNNNNNNNNNNNNNNNNNNNNNNNNNNNNNNNNNNNNNNNNNNNNNNNNNNNNNNNNNNNNNNNNNNNNNNNNNNNNNNNNNNNNNNNNNNNNNNNNNNNNNNNNNNNNNNNNNNNNNNNNNNNNNNNNNNNNNNNNNNNNNNNNNNNNNNNNNNNNNNNNNNNNNNNNNNNNNNNNNNNNNNNNNNNNNNNNNNNNNNNNNNNNNNNNNNNNNNNNNNNNNNNNNNNNNNNNNNNNNNNNNNNNNNNNNNNNNNNNNNNNNNNNNNNNNNNNNNNNNNNNNNNNNNNNNNNNNNNNNNNNNNNNNNNNNNNNNNNNNNNNNNNNNNNNNNNNNNNNNNNNNNNNNNNNNNNNNNNNNNNNNNNNNNNNNNNNNNNNNNNNNNNNNNNNNNNNNNNNNNNNNNNNNNNNNNNNNNNNNNNNNNNNNNNNNNNNNNNNNNNNNNNNNNNNNNNNNNNNNNNNNNNNNNNNNNNNNNNNNNNNNNNNNNNNNNNNNNNNNNNNNNNNNNNNNNNNNNNNNNNNNNNNNNNNNNNNNNNNNNNNNNNNNNNNNNNNNNNNNNNNNNNNNNNNNNNNNNNNNNNNNNNNNNNNNNNNNNNNNNNNNNNNNNNNNNNNNNNNNNNNNNNNNNNNNNNNNNNNNNNNNNNNNNNNNNNNNNNNNNNNNNNNNNNNNNNNNNNNNNNNNNNNNNNNNNNNNNNNNNNNNNNNNNNNNNNNNNNNNNNNNNNNNNNNNNNNNNNNNNNNNNNNNNNNNNNNNNNNNNNNNNNNNNNNNNNNNNNNNNNNNNNNNNNNNNNNNNNNNNNNNNNNNNNNNNNNNNNNNNNNNNNNNNNNNNNNNNNNNNNNNNNNNACCCUCGCGAGACUCAUAUGCAAGCUGUACUUCGCAUCUUGAGAUACCUAAAGUCUGCUCCAGGGAAAGGGCUACUUUACUCCAAAUAUGGUCACCUCCGAAUUGAAACUUUUACAGAUGCAGAUUGGGCAGGAUCUCUCGAUGACAGGAGAUCCACCUCUGGCUACUGCACAGUUGUGGAGGGAACCUUGUCACUUGGAGGAGCAAAAAACAAAGUGUUGUUGCUCGGUCAAGUGCGGAAGCAGAAUACAGAGCAAUGGCCUAAGGAGUGUGUGAACUCUUAUGGUUGUAGAAGUUAUUGGAAGAGUUGAGAUUGUCCGAGAGAGACAAGAUAACCUUGUAUUGUGACAAUAAAGUUGCUAUAAGUAUAGCACAAAAUCCAGUCUAACAUGACCAAACGAAGCACAUUGAAAUUGAUCGGCACUUCAUUAAAGAAAAAUUAACAGACGGUGUCUUGAGCCUAGUUCAUGUGACUUCUACGGGGCAAUUUGCGGAUGUGUUUACUAAAGGGCUUAACAACAAGAUCUACCAUAAUCUGAUUUGCCAGUUGGGUAUGUGUGACAUCUUUGCACCAACUUGAGGGGGAGUGUUGACUUAUUUACUAAUCCUAGCUGAUUCUAGGGAUUUGAUUUGAUCUGAUUAGGAUCCUUAAUUAUCUCUGUAAUUAUUAUUUGAUUAUUUGCUUCCUGUUUAGAUAUGAUUCUUUGUGUAUAAAUAGUCAUGUAGACCAAUUAUAAAGAUUAAGAGUGAAAUACAAGAAUACUCAAAAUUUUCUCCAAAAUUCUUCACACCCUUUUCUUAGGAGACACCUUGAGCAACACCAUAUCUCCCUCCUGGAACACAACAUGCUUCCUGCGGACGUCUGCAUAACUCUUCUGUCUACUCACAGCUGUUUUGAUUCUUUCUCUGAUAAUAGGCACUACCCUGCUGGUGAUCUCAACUAAUUCUGGCCCUGCCAAGGCCCUUUCUCCUACUUCUUCCCAGCAGACGGGUGACCUGCACUUCCUCCCAUAUAGAGCUUUAUAAGGAGCCAUCCUAAUGCUAGCAUGGUAACUGUUAUUGUAGGCAAACUCUACCAACGGUAGAUGUUGCUUCCAAGAACCGCCAAAAUCUAGCACACACAUUCUCAACAUAUCUUCUAUCGUUUGGAUGGUCCUCUCUGACUGUCCGUUAGUCUAUGGAUGAAAGGCAGUGCUAAAGUCCAACCUCGUGCCCAUAGCAUUCUGCAGACUCCGCCAAAACCUGGAGGUAAACUGGGGUCCUCUAUCUGACACUAUUAAUACUGGAGCCCUAUGCAGCCUGACGAUCUCUUCUACAUAUAUCUGUGCCAAUUUUUCCACAGAGUAACCACGCCUGACAGGAAUGAAGUGAGCAGAUUUGGUCAGUCUGUCCACUAUUAUCCAUAUAGAGUCUAAUCUGUUAGACGUUGCUGGUAACCCCACCACGAAAUCCAUCGCCACAUUUUCCCAUUUCCACUCUGGAAUCCGUAGUGGGUUGAGCAUCCCAGCUGGCUUCUGAUGUUCCAGCUUCACCCUCUGACAUAUUUCACAAGCAGACACAAACUGCGCCACUUCCCUCUUCAUAGUUGGCCACCAGUAAACUCUCUUCAGAUCUUGAUAUAUUUUGGUGGCCCCAGGGUGAACACUAUACCUAGCAUUAUGAGCCUCUCUCAUAAUGUCUCCCUUCAAACUCACGUCAUCUAGUACACAUAAUCUAUUUCCGUAACGGAGGAUCCCUUUGUUGUUAAAUCUAAACUCAUCAUUCUUGCCUGCCUGAACAGUUCUCGCUAUCUUUACCAACUCAGGGUCUUCAUGCUGUUUCUGUGCCACCUGCUCCAGAAACACGGGUGACAUUAUCAUCUGAGCCACUAGUGCACCUGUACCAGACAACUCUAACUGUAAACCCUCAUUAAUGAGCUUGUAAAAUUCUCUCACCACCGGUCUUCUCUCUACUGAGAUAUGGGAUAGACUGCCAAGUGAUUUCCGGCUGAGAGCAUCUGCUACUACAUUUGCCUUACCCGGAUGAUACUGGAUCUUGCAAUCAUAAUCACUAAGCAGUUCUACCCACCUUCUCUGCCUCAGGUUCAACUCUUUCUGACUCAAGAUGUAUUAUAAACUCUUAUUAUCUGUAAAGAUCUCACAUUUUACCCCAUACAGGUAAUGCCUCCACAUCUUGAGUGUAAAGAUCACAGGUGCCAUCUUUAGAUCGUGUGUAGGAUAAUUCAACUUGUGCUUCUUUAGCUGUCUAGAAGCAUAAACAAUUACCCUCUCAUUUUGCAUUAGCACACAACCUAGUCCCACUCGGGAUGCAUCACAACACACUGUGAAAUUCUCAUUACUCGUAGGCAGAGCUAACACCGGUAUUGACGUUAGUCUUUUCUUCAGCUCUUUGAAACUCUCUUCACACUGUUCCGACCAAACGAACCUCUGAUUCUUUUUGGUCAAUCUGGUCAUAGGAGUAGCAAUUUUUGAGAAAUCCUGGACAAAUCUCCUGUAGUAACCUGCCAAACCAAAAAAGCUUUUAAUCUCUGUCACUGUAGUGGGUCUGGACCAGUUAGCUACAGCUUCUACUUUCUUGGGGUCCACCUCAAUUCCCUUUUCUGACGCCACAUGCCCCAAGAAAGAGAUACUCCUCAACCAGAACUCACAUUUAGAGAACUUGGCAUACAAGCCGUGUUCCCUCAAGGUUUGCAACACAAUCCUCAGAUGAUGGGCAUGCUCCUCUGCGUUUCUGGAAUACACCAAGAUAUUGUCAAUAAAAACAAUAACAAAGUGAUCCAGAAACUGACUAAAAACUCUGUUCAUGAGAUCCAUGAAUGUUGUAGGGGCAUUGGUUAACCCGAACGGCAUCACUAGGAACUCAUAAUGCUCAUAUCUGGUCCUGAAGGCUGUCUUGGGUACGUCUUCCUCUCUGACCCUCAGCUGAUGAUACCCGGAUCUCAAAUCUAUCUUCGAAAAACAACCGGCUCCUGCUAGCUGGUCAAACAGAUCAUCGAUCCUGGGUAACAGAUACUUAUUCUUGGUAGUGACUUUGUUCAACUGUCUAUAGUCGAUACAAAACCUUAGGGAUCCAUCCUUCUUUUUCACAAACAAAACUGGGGCACCCCAUGGUGAGGUACUAGGUCGGAUGAAACCCUUAUCUACCAACUCUUGCAACUAUUCUUUCAAUUCUUUUAACUCUGCAGGUGCCAUCCUAUAGGGAGGAAUAGAGAUGGGUUUGGUUCCUGGCAUUACUUCAAUUUCAAACUCUAUCUUCCAAGCAGGUGGUAAACCUGGUAGCUCGUUCGGGAAAACAUCAAGAAACUCUCUGCCUACCGGCACUGAAGCUGGUUCCCUAACCUGACUGUUAAGCUCUUUGACAUGAGUAAGAAACCCCUGACAACCCCUCCUAAGCAACCUAUGAGCCUGUAGGGCCGAUAUCAAACCUCUAGAUAUCCCUAUCUUGUCUCCUCUGAGGACAAUCUCUGACCCAUCUUGUUCUCUGAACCUAUCUACCUUGUCUCUGCAGUCCAAGGCAGCACCAUGAGUAGAGAGCCAAUCUAUCCCUAGAAUGACAUCAAAAUCGGUCAAAUCUAGAACCACAAGGUCAGCUGGAAGGCAUCUACCCUCAGCAAAAACUGGACUGAACCGGCAGACUGACUCUAUCACAGAUGGAUCACACUUGGGCCUACUGACCCAAAGAGGACACUCUAGCCCAGAAGCUAUCAAAUCCAAACUCUCUAUGGCUCUCGGAGAAACAAAAGAAUGAGAGGCACCAGGGUCCAUAAGAGCAUACACAUCAGAACACCCAAUAGUGAGUUUACCUGACACCACCGUGUUUGACGUAUUUGCCUCCUGCUGUGUCAUGGUGCAGAUUCGCGCCGAAGCUGAAGGACCUUCUCCUUGGGAACCUGCUGAAGAAGAUGCUGUCCCUCUCCCUCUGCCUCUACCUCGCCCUCUGCCCUGAGAUGUGGUCAAAGCUGCUGGCUGCGCCACCCUGCCAGAAGCUGUCUGCUGGGACUGUGCUAUCCUAGCUGCACUGGGACACUCACGUGCCAUGUGCCCCUCCUGUCCGCAUCUGAAACAUGCUGUAGUCCCAAACCGACAAACCCCUUUGUGCGGCUUACCGCACCUCAUACAUUCGGAGCUAUCUGAACCAGAGCUUGAACCACCACCCAUUCCCAUACCAUACUUCAACCGGUUCCAGAACUUGUUCUUCUUGGGCUUCUUAGUGGACCUGGUCCACUUUUUACCUUCUGUGGCGGCUGCACUCAGAGAGGAGAGAUCAAUAUUCCCUGUUCCCGGGGUUUUGGAACCCGAGGACUGUGCCACCUAUUGUUUAACUGUCCCCUAUAUGAUGGCACUAGCCUCCAUCUUCCGUGCUGCAUCCACAAUAGUGUGGAAACUCUCCCUCUCUGCUGCUAAGAUUAGGGAGGAAUACCUAGAGUAGAGUCUCAUGGUAUACCUCCUGGCCUUCUUCUGGUUAGUGUCAUAUGCCUGAUCCGUAAACUGAAACAACUCCAGAAACUUGUCUGUAUACUCAUCCACGCUCAUCUCUUCAGUUUGUCUCAACUGCUCAAAUUCUAUCACCUUCAACUCCCUCGAACUAUUUGGAAAAACCCAUCCUGCAAAUUCAUUAGCAAACUGUUCCCAAGAUAGGCUGUUCAGUCUCGGGUCCACAUAAUUUUUGAACCACUCCUUUGCCUUCUUGCAUUUAAGAGUGAAUCCCAUCAUCUGAAUGGCUCUGUUGUCACUAGCCCCAACUCAUCAAUUAUCAUUUUCACCGUCUUGAGGUACUCAAACGGAUCAUCACAUGUUGUAUAUUUGGGAGCAUCCAACUUCAGAUAGUCCGUCAUUUUCACCUUGCUCCCAGCUGAUGGGUUAGGUUUGGAUGAUUGGGUUUCAGGAACCACUGGCUCUACUGGGGGAGAAGGAGGUGCAGCAUUCCCUGGGUUAGGGUUUGCUGGAUUGUGAUAAAAAGGUGAGGGUGAAAACAUCGGGUAGGGUGGAUAUAGAGGGUAGUAGGGAGGAUAGGGCAUGAAUGAGGGAUAUGGGUUGUAGCUAGAGAAAUCCAAUGUGCCUCCCAUCGGAUACCCUGGUCCCUGUGGGUAGGGUUGGUACCAUGGUUUCAAAUAACGGCUGUUACGUAACGUAACGGCCGUUAUUUACAGGUAAAGGAGGCUACCGUGGCCGUUACGGCCGUUAUUUAACGGCAAAAAAAAAUUGUUGCCGUAAUGGCCGUUACGGCCGUUACGCAACGGUAACGGCCGUUAUCGGCCGUUACCAGCCGUUAUGUAACGGCCGUAACGGCCGUUACUUUACUUUAUAUCAGAAUCUUGCAUUAUUGUCCAGCAACCAGCAGCUCCAGCAGCUUCAGGAAUCUUGCAGAGUUUGUCCAGCAGCUCCAGCCUGUGCUUCACGUGAAAAAUCUCUACCUUUUCUACUUCUUUUUAUUCUCUUCCAUCCAGCACUUCUGCACUUGAGUCUCUCCAGCAGGCAGCACUUCUUCUCCAUUUCCUCCAGCCUCCAGUCCAGCAGGCAGCAACCAGCAAGCACUUCUUCUCCUCCAUUUCCUCCAGCCUCCAGCAAGCAGCAGCAGCACUUCUCCUCCAUUUCAAUUCUUCUUCUUCCAUAGUUUUUUUCUUCCAUAAUCCAUACUUAUUUCCAGCCUCCAUUGAGGUAAGUUACUGUUUAAAAUUUAUGAAUUUUAUAUUUAUUUGAUAUAUUUGUACUUAUUAUUAAGUUAUAUAAUUUAAUUUUUAUUAUACCUUUUAAUUUCAUGAACUUUACAAGUUAUAGGCUUACAGCAUACAAUUUACUUUAUUAUAAUAUAUUUUUUGUUUACACGUUAAUUUGAAUUUAAUUUAAAUUGCACAUUAAUUUGAUAAUAUAUUUUUUAUUUUACAGUAUAUUAUUUGAUAAUUUGAAAAUGCCGAGAGGGGGAUCUGAUAAACCAAGUCAAGAUAUUGGAUGGAAUUUUGCCACUCCUACGGGAAAAAAAGGAGAAAUGACCUGUAAUUUUUGUGGUAAAAAAAUAACUGGGGGGAUAACUCGCUUGAAGCAGCAUUUGGCAAAUAUACCGGGGCAAGUUGCUGGUUGUCAAAAAGUUUCUGCGCAAGUAAAAAAAGACAUGGGAAAUAUGUUGAGGGGUUUUGAAGCUGCAAAAAGGGAUAAAGCAAAGAGGGCAAGGGAGUUGGAAGAUGAAAUCAUGAAGAUGACAGAAGUUAAGGGUUCAGAUUCAGACGAAGAAGAUAUCGAACUAGAAAUUGCGAGACGCGAAAGCAUGCGGCAGUUUGAUGAAGAUGCUUAUAGAAGGAGAGCUUCUCAUUAUGAAAGUGGUGGGAGUAGCCAUCAAGCUCCUCCUCGCUCGGGAAUUAGUCGUUCAGCGACCGUUCGUGAAAGAGGUAGAGAAGCAUCAAGAUUUGUCGAGCAAACAUCAACACCUGCUUCUAGAUUAGCAGCAGCUGAAAUUGAAAUAGAAAAGAACAGAAGUCAGAAACAAACAAAGAUUAAAACCAAAUGGCUUAAGUCGCAGAAAGAAAAGUUGCUUAAAGCCUUUGGUAAUUUUGUUAUCCACAACAGAUUACCUUUUAGUGUGGUUGAGUCACCAUGGACAAAGCCAUUACUCAGAACGGCCGCUGAAGUGGGACCUAAUGUAUCACCACCUUCAGCAUAUGAGAUCUCUGAAGUAUACUUGAAAAAUGAAUACAAAGAAAUGAAGAAAUAUAUUGCUUCAUUUGAGGGCAUGUGGAAUGAAAGAGGAGUUACCAUUAUGUGUGAUGGAUGGAGCGGGCCAACCAGAAUGAGUAUAAUUAAUUUUCUAGUCUACUCUCCUCGUGGAACAGUGUUCCAUAAAUCCAUAGAUGCAAGUAAUGUUGAACGAAAAGAUGGAGAAUAUUACUUCAAGAUCAUGAAGGAGGUGGUUGAAGAAAUUGGCCCAAGCAAAAUUGUCCAAGUGGUGACUGAUAAUGAAGCUGCUAUUAAAUCUGGUGGCAAAAAGUUGAUGGAGAAGUUUCCAAAUUUGUAUUGGACAGCAUGCAGUGCACAUUGCAUUGAUUUAAUUUUAGAAGAUUUUGGAAAGAGGAAGAAUAUAAAGACCGUCAUUGAGCAAGGAAAAGUUAUCACCCAAUUUAUUUACAAUCAUAAUUGGGUGGUAAAUUACAUGAAGAAAUUUACUGAUGGUCGAGAUAUAAUUCGCCCCGGGAUUACUAGAUUUGCAACUAAUUUUAUUGCAUUGGAAAGUCUUCUUCGAUGUAGAACGGGGUUAAGAAACAUGUUUGAAUCCGAGCAAUGGGUAGGAAGUAAAUAUGGCCAGGCUACCAGUGGACCAGCUUAUGAAGCUAAGAAAAUUGUUCUUAGCUUGGAUAGAGAGGGAAGAAAUUUUUGGGAGAAAGCCGAGCAAAUUAUGAAAAUUCAAGAGCCAUUGCUUAAAGUGUUGAGAUUAGUGGAUGGUGACGAAAAACCAACAAUGGGAUUUAUAUAUGAAGCAAUGGAACGAGCAAAAUUGGCCAUUAAGCAAAAUUCCAGAAGUUACAUAGACUACUGGAAAAUUAUUGAUGCUCGUUGGAAUUUUCAAUUACAUCAUGAUUUGCAUGCAGCUGGUAAGAAGCACAUAAACUUAAUACUUUAAUAAUUUCUAUAUCUUAUAAAUUUUAAUAAUUUUUUUAUGAUUUGCAGGAUAUUUUUUGAAUCCUCAAUAUCAGUAUGGUCCACACGAUAUUGGAAAUGAUAGUGAAAUUAUGGCAGGCCUUAAAAAUGUUAUUCAAAGGCUAGAGAGUGAUUUGGUAAAUCAAGCCAAUGCAUUGAACCAAGUAAGUAUAUAAUAUAUAGCUAACUUGAAUAAUUUUAGUAAAUACUUUUAGCAGUAUAAUAAAGCAAAUAAUUUUUUUAUUGGUGUAGACACAACUUUAUAAGCAUAAAAUGGAGAGUUUUGGGUCCGCCUUGGCACAAAAAGCCAUUAAAUUCACUGAUCCAGGUAAAAAUAUAAGAUUUACACAUUAUGUUAUAUUUUUAGUGUUCUAAAAUAUAAAAUUAUUAUAUGUUUUAAUGCAGCUGAAUGGUGGAUACAUUAUGGUGAAAGUGCUCCUGAACUACAGAGAAUUGCAGUAAGAGUGUUGAGUCAAACUACUUCUGCAUCUAAUUGUGAAAGAAAUUGGAGCACUUUUUCACUUAUACAUACAAAGACGAGGAACAGAUUACGGUAUCAAAAAUUGCAUGCACUCGUCUUUGUUCACUACAAUAUGCGGCUGAAGUUGAGGAAUUUGAGCAGAAAGAGUCAGCAUGAGCUAGAAAAGAGUUAUAAUCCAAUUAAUUUGGAUUACAUUUUCGAGGAAGAUGAUCCACUAAAUCCUUGGUUGGAGGAAAGGGAAAGUCCUGUACUUGAUGGUGAAGAAAAUCCUUGGCUAGAGGAGGAUGAGCCCGCUCCAUCACAAUCACAACAAGUUAAUGCUCCAACUCAUGGACAUAAUAUUGGAGGCAGUGGUGAUGUUGAACCUGAAGAUUCUUUUAAACUAUCUAGUUCCAGUGAUGAUGAUGAUGGUGGUAGUGGUCAGGGUGGAAGAGGUGAAGGUCGUGGAGCUACUAGUUCAUUACAAUCACAUGAUGAUCCCUCUUCAUAUCAGAGGCAUAGUCCAUCUCCAUCUCCAUCUCCAGCUCCAGCUCCAGCUCCAACUUUGCAACAUACAUAUCACAGAUCCCGUGGUUCUGGUGGUAGCAGUGAUAAGGGAAAAGGUGUUGCACAUGGAGAGUAUUCUAUGGAUGCAGAUAAUUAUGGAUAUGGGACUUAUGGUGCAAGUGAAUCUUCAAUGGAAGCAACCUCUACUAGUGAUUAUGGAUAUAGAGGAAAUUUUCAAUGGGAAUACUCAAAUUCAUAUCCAUAUCAGUCUCCUCCAUCGUAUUCUGAUUUACCUUUGUCAGAGCAAUCAUUCUCCCACACUCAAACCCAAUCCAAUCCUAGUGAUCAAUUUGGUAUGGGUUCAUUCUUCAGCUUUGAUCCAUCACAAUACUAUCAAUAUCAUCAAGAUCAAAGCUCUCAAUCACAAAAUGAAGGUAGUGGAUCUACUCAAGAACCUGCUAGACGCUCAUUCUGGUGGUAAUUGAGGUAAGUUACUACAUAUAAUGUUUAAAAUUUAUGUAUUUUAUGUUUAUUCAAUAUAUUUGUACUUGUUUAUAAGUUGUAUAACUUAAUUUUCGUUAUAUCUUUCAAUAUAUUUUAAUUUCAUGGACUUUACAAAUUUUCUAAAAAAAUUUGAGCCGCGACAGGCCGUUACCGUUACGUUAUGACCGUUACAGGCCUGUUUCCGUUACCCGCGACCGCAAUCGCGAACGGGGCCGCGACCGCGAUUUGAAACCAUGGUUGGUACUGAGGUGGGUGAGCAAAACCUGAGGCCUGAGCGCCUCCUUGGGAUUUUCCAUACCCUCUUCUGACAUACUCACACCCAAACUUUCAUCUCUUCUUUGAUCAUCUUCCACUGUUUCCCUCACAUCCGCAGACAUCCUACCCGGAUCUAUUCUCCUCCUGUUUACAUCAAAAGACCUUCUAGGGUUCCUUCAUGUUUCUCCUCUGCUAGUUCUACUUGACCGUGCUCUUGGCAGAGCAGGGGGAAGGGCGUCUAUACCCUCAUUCUCAGGUGGAGCUCCUGUCAAUUGUGCAGAUCGACGUGAGCCUCGCAUUCUGUUUUCUGAAAAACAACAUAUAACACAUAAACGUUAGCAUCAUAUAGUUCAUGCGGAUACACAUGAACCCACAUCAUAUACAUACACAUCAUUAAUGCACAUGCAUACUAUCAUGGCAUUACACAUCAUCAUUCAUUCAUUAAGACAGGACUCUAUAUCCUAUCCUAGUGGACAUGAUUUUUUCCUAUUGUGUUUGCCCUUCUAUAUCAUCUAUGAGUCCGACACUCUAGGUCCGACCAUAUGAACCUAGGGCUCUGAUACCACUCUGUAACGACCCGGAAAUCGGACCGCUACCGGCGCUAGGAUUCAGAUCGACUUAAGGUUGCUGGAACCCGUAGCAAGCCUACUAUACAUCUUGUGUACCUGAUAAAAUCCCAUACAUGAUCAUACAUUAUAACAAAAACUUAAACAUUUCCAUGAAACCGAGCUCAACCUGUGUAUGUAUCAUACUGAAAACAUAAAACUCAUACUAGAGCACUCAUCAAAUGCUCUAGUAUGGUUAACAUCACACGCCUCAAGCUUGGUUCAAACAUAAAACAUAUUUAAAACUUUUACAUAAAUAUCAUGUUAACAGGGAUUACAAGGUAAAGAAAACUAUCAUGAAUAUUUUGAAGAAAGAACAAAAAAUCAACAAUGGAAGGGCAAGAACUCACAUUUGCCCGAAAAUGGAGAGAGAAACUGUCCCAUUUUCGGACUGGAGGCCUCUUAUAGAUGGCUGGCCAGACCACCUUCGGGGGCCGAAAGGAGAGCUCCCGCGGCUGCACCAUGUUUGGCGCCCGAACCUGGAUUUUCCCCUCCAAAGCAUUUUUCUUCAAAACUUUUUUCUUUCUUUCUUAAAACCUUAAAAAUUUUCAAAUUCAUUUUAUAAAAAAACUUAUUUUACCCUUCUAAGGGGAUUCCAGUUUCGGAAAUUCCGGAUUCCAACGGGGAUUUCAUCGGAAGGUUGAAAUUCCGACGCCAGAACUUAGCCGGGUAUUACACAAACCAUAUUGGAAUGUUUCGGCGGUUUGGUUUUAGGAAGGGAGAAUCUGAUAGUGAGAAGUGUUUGAAUUUAGUUUCAUAUCCCUUUCUACAAUUCUCUAUAAGGGCAUUAAUCAGUUCGAUUCUUAAACCAAAAUCAGAAGUUUAUAUGAAAAUAAAAUUCCAGAUUCAAAAAAAGUUUGGAAAGAAUAUAUAUGUAUAUAUAUGUUGCAAUAGAAUUUUAAACAGCAAGAUCGAGACCUCUGCCUUCUUUCUUUCUUUGUUUCUUUCUUCCUUCCUCUUUUCUUUCUUUUGCCAAUUUCUCAUGCCAAAAAGCACCAUCAGAUUUAGGGGGGUGUUUGGUUUAAUUGUUAGAUGCUGAUAGCUAAUAGGCAUUCAAAUAGCUAAAUCAAAGUAUUUGAUAAAUUUUUUAGGCAGCUGAUAUGCUUCAAAUUAGCUGCAUUUGGAAUAAGCUCAACAAUUAGAGUUAUUUCUUAUUAGUAGAUAGCUGUUUAGACUUUAUUUUUUAUUUUGACCAUAUUAACCUUAAAAAUUUUAUUAAUUAUAAUUUUAUAAAUUAAAAUUUUUAUCAAUAAAUUUUUUAAAAUUACAAGAGAUAAUAAAUAAAUUAAAAAUACUAUAAAUGAUAAUUAAAAUAGUUGUAAUAUUUCUUAAAUUUAUAAUAUUCUUUAUUAUAUUAUAAAAAUUAUAUAUAUGUAUGAAAAAAAUAUAUUUAAUUUAUUAAUUGUUAUAUAUGUUGUAUAGUAAAUUAAUAAAUUAAUAUUUAUUUUAUUAAUAUAAUGAAUUGAUAUAUAUCCUUAUUAGUUAUGUUAACAUGUUAGGCAUAGUUUACCAAACGCCUAAGAUAGUUAGAAUCAGAUAUCAUCUACAAGUUAUAAUCAGCUAAUAGUUAUAUCCACGAGUUAAACCAAACAAGCCCUUAAGCAGCAAAAUUGAUAAUCAAAAUCAACCCUCAAUACUCUUGUCUGCUGUCCGCUUCUGCUUAUUCCCAAAAUAUGGGGUCCCUCCUAAUCUCCUUCCUCAAUUUUCUUCUCUAGUCUAUCCAUUUACCUUUUUCAGUCUUUACCUUUUUCAGUCUGGUCAUGAACCCACUGCGAUGCUUACCCAAGUCAUAACUCUCCUGCCCAUAUCCUCUUUCAGUUCCAUUGGAUCUAAAACCUACAAAUUGAGCUACCUGCCAGCAACUUAAAAUUACAUAGAUGCUUUAUUAUUCUUAUCAAAUCGAGGGGAGAGACUGCCAGGAAGGAAGAUUAUUGAAAAUUAUAGUUUCUGGUGGACUAUGUUUGCAUGGCUAACAAUGGAUGGAGUAACAGAGAGUUGGAGACUGGAGAGAGUUGAGAGUGGAGAAUGAAAAAAGGAAGACUGGAAUGGGGGAAGAGAAACGUGGUUUGACUGCAGAAAGAGCAAAGAUGAGAGACCACUCAAAAUAGCGAUAGCGUUAAAAAACCAUUGUGUUUUAUAGUUUGGUUUGUUUCCGUUUUCCAUCUUCUAUUUCUAUGGAACUGAACUGAACUGAUAAGUGAAAAAAUAAAAAAAUAAAAAAAUGAAAACCAAACUGAAUCUCUAAAUUGAAUUGGUUUGUCAAUUUUUUCAGUUUAAUCUGAAUUGUGCCCACCUUCAACCACAGAUCCACAAGCAUUACUUCUCCUCUUCAACUGUUCAUUGUCGUCCCAAAAGGCGUAUUCUGAAAUUGACUUUUAUGUUUUUCAAAUGUGGUGUUUGGCUGUUUUCCGAGGCAUUUUUCAUCCAUAUGCUAAAAUCUGUUGGUUUAAUUUGAUUAUAAGUCGCACAUGUGCUCACUUCAACAUGACACUUAUAAUGGUCUUUGAUAUGUGUAUCAGUGAUCAAUCCCAUAGGUUUUGCAAUGUGUCCAGGCAACCAUUAUCAGAAACCAGAGGGAAGGAGAGAAGACUAUUUUUAGAUGCCACCUGGGAGAUUGUAAAAAAUAUGACAGUUCCUGUAACCAUACUAAAUAUUACCUCCAUGUCAGCUUUCAGAAGUGAUGCACAUGUUGGCAAGUGGAAUGACAACUCACCUAUAGCUGAUUGUAGCCACUGGUGUCUACCUGGAGUACCUGAUAUGUGGAAUGAAAUUUUGCUCUCUUUCUUGCUUUACCAACUGUAGACUCUCUCCAAUGAUUAUGUGAGUAUUACGUCUUUUGUUCUUAGUUUGACUUGGUUUUGGUUUGCAAUAUGCAUUUGCUCUGUGUGCGUGUAUUGACUGGACAAAGAUUGGUUUUUAGUCCUUCAACCCCAUUUAUCUGUUAAAUCUAAACCUGGGUUAAUACAUGAGGUGUAGAUUGAUGGCGAAGACCGGAAACUUGACGUGGAACCCUAUGGAUCAAGUUCAAGAACUCUAUGACAAGAUGGAAAAAACUCUAAAUAUCAAUAAUAAAUUCUUCUCUAUGACACCCAAUGUAAAGGACAACAAGAACACUAAUGAUUGAGGAUUAAAGAAACAAGACAAACACCGAUGAUUGAGGAUUAAAAAAACAAGACAAAUGCUAAAAUUAAAUUGAUAAGUUUAACUUGAUUCUUGAUAUAAUCGGAAGAAUGCAAUCUCACACUCUCAUAAUAACAAAGACACGCAAAUAGUAUGAAUAAUUCUAAAUUUUAAUUAAAAGUCUCCUUAUGCAGAGGACGACUGGAGUUUAUAUAGAGAAAACUAAGCAUAACCCUAAAAGACUAAGGAUAAACUAAAGCCAAACAAGGCUGGAUGAAAAUUAUAAGCUCAUAGCAAGGGCAGCACACUAAAACUCAAAAACUAGGUCCAAACAACUAAAUUAGCAAUACUAAAGCAAAUAAGAUAGCAUAAGCUUAACCCAAACAAAUGGGUUUAUAAAAUACAUUAUUAAGACCCAAAUGACAUAUAUAACACAUCCCUGAGGCUGCUCAUGAGUUGUAUACAUGCUUUGCACAUGCUCCUUAAGUGGCACAUGCAUUACACAUGUUUCUUUAAAUCUGUCAAUUUAGUUUGAUGGACUUGUACACCUUCUAAUUAGGCCCAAUGGACUUAAAUAUUAACAAAAGUCUUCCUUCGUCUUCACUUUAGGCUUUUCUUUGUAUAACUUUUAUCCAUAGGCUUGAUUAUACUCCUUAAAUCCAUAAUUGUAAGUGUUGCACUAAAUCUACCCCAUAUAAAUUGAAUCACGCCCCAAGUGGAUUUGGUUCAUAUAAAUAUGAUUUUGAACUCUUUUUAAACCUAUUUGAAUGAUAUAAAGUUACUCCACACAAUUAUUGCAAGUCUGCCUUAUUGGAUUCGUAUCAUUCUCUCUUUCUUUAGAAAAGAUUCGUCCUCGAAGCUUGCUCAUAUUCAUGUCCGGAAUGGAAAUUUUAGGAACCAAUGCAUCUUCAAAGAUCUCCUCUUAAAUAGGUGCAAAUAGCAUGAAAGUCUCAUCAUGGAUGUUCUCAUCAACAACCUGCAUAUCAAGAACAAGACAACUAGGCAUAACAAUGUUAAUCAUAGAAAGAUCAUGUAGAUGUGACCCAUUCUCCUCUACAACUUCCAAAACAGCUCGAUUCGCCUCUUUUACCUCAUCAAUCAUGUCCUCCCUAUGUCCACCAUCAAUCACAACCUCUUCUUUAAGCAAGAACUUUGCUAACUUCAUGCAUUACAAUUUCCUCUUCAAUUUCAAUUUCUAUGAAAGUUGAAAUUGAAAAUUUAGCCUUUUCUUUCUUCUUUUCUUUCUUAUCUCUUCUCUUUUCUUAGCAACAAACCUCUUCGUCUCUAACUUUGCUUCACGUAAAUUCUCUUCAUAACUUUGAAGCUCCUUAAUUAACAACAUAGCUUCUCUAAAACUAUAUGUAACUUCUUUAUCCAUCCGUUUUCUGCAAUGUUGAAUACAAUUUUUAAAGCUAUUUAUUGCAAAAUCAAGCAUAAAAUAGGAAACAUUCUCCUUAAUCUCCAUCUCAAGUUCCUCUUUAUCGUCUCCUUACUUAUCCAAACUCAUAGUUAAGAACAACAACAAAAAUCACAAGUCAAAAUAGAGUUAGUAAUAAAGCACUUUCUCACGUGUUUGCACUCUUUUACUACUCUUUGCAAUUCCUCCAAUUGAACUUCAGAAUUUAGGCCAAUCUAGCAACUCAAAAGAAAACUUAAAAAUAAAGAUUAAAACCCUAACAAUAAAAAGUAAGCUCAAAUACACUAGAAAGAAUACACAAGACAAAAAUGGAUGGUAGCACAAAGACAAAAUUAUGUACUACUUGAUUUUAUCAAUUUAAGGUGUAAUCACAAUCAAAUAACACUCUAAUAAUGUAAAAGAAACAAAGAUGGCAAAACUCAAAAAAAAAAAAAAAUCAACAAACAAGAAUUGAGAAAAGACAAUUUAGGCCAAAAUAUAAGAAUUUGAAUUACUACAAAGCAAAUUAAAUAUGAAAUCUAAAAUAUUUCUACUCAACAAAGUAAGAAAGUAAAAAAUGCUUAAACUAAAUCAGAAUUCUCAUGUAUAAUUAAUUUUUGGAGCCAAAUUAAUAAUUUCAUGCCAAAAAAAAAUUGUUUUAAGCUCUAAACAUGCACAGGUGUAUGUGUGACCAAAUAUAGCAUCAAAUUAAUUAAACAAGAGAGAGUCAAUCCAAAUAGCCCCUAAAACAAUAGAGUCCGAAAAUUUAGGGCUAAGGAAGCAAUUCUUUAGACACAAAAAACCUCAAGUCCUAAUUCAACUAGGACAAGAAAACAAAUCCAAUAAGAAGAAGGAUUCCUCAAAGAUACGUCAAGAAUUCUCUUCCUUCUUCCUUUCUUUCUCUUACUAAUUUUCUUUCUUCUUUUUUUUAAUUCUCUUUCUUCUGCUUCUUUUAAUUUUGUGUGUUUUUUUUUUUUUAUCGAAUUGAUCAAGAACGAAACUUAACUAAUUUAACAACCAAAAUUAAAUCAACAAACACUAAAACAAGUUUAAACCCUAAACAAAUUAAACUAAUACAAGACCAAAAAAUUCAGAAAUAAAAAAUGCAAGAAAAUUCAAAUUUAAAACUCUAAACUAAGAUAAAUCAAAAUUUAUCUUAACCUUUAGCUCUGAUACUAAUUGAUGCGGAACCCUAUGGAUCAAGUCUAAGAACUCUAUGACAAGAUGGAAAAAGCUCUAAAGAUCAACAGUAAACUUUCCUCUAUGGCAUUCAAUGCAAAGGACAACAAGAAUACCAAUGAUUGAGGAAUAAAGGAACAAAACAAAUGUCACAAUUGAAUUGAUAAGUUUAUCUUGAUUUUUGAUGCAAUUGGAAGAAUGCAAUCUUAGACUCUCACAAUAAUAAAAACACGCAAAUAGUAUGAAUAAUUCUGAAUUUUGAUUAAAAGUCCUCUUAUACAAAGGUGGCUGGAAUUUAUAUAGAAAAAACUAAGCAUAACCCUAAAAGACUAAGAAUAAACUAAAACCUAAAGAGCCAAACAAGGCUGGACGAAAAUUAUAAACUCAUAGCAAGGGACUACAUAUUAAAGCCCUAAAACUAGGUCCAAACAACUAAACUAGUAAUACUAAAGCAAAUAAGAUAGUAUAAAUUUAACCUAAAUAAAUAGGCUUGCAAAAUACAUCAUUAAGGUCCAAAUAACAUAUAUAACACGUCCUCCAAGACUGCUCAUGAGUUGUGCACAUGCCUUGCACAUGCUCCUUAAGUGGCACAUACAUUACACGUGUUUGUUCAAAUCUACCAAUUUAGUUUGAUGGACUUGUACACCUUCUAAUUAGGCUAAAUGGACUUACAUCUUCACAAGAGCCUUCCUUCAUCUUUACUAUAGGCUUCCAUUUGUGUAGUUUUAGCCCAUAGGUUUGAUUAUACUGCUUAAGCCCAUAAUCUUAAGCCCAUAAUUGCAAAUGUUGCACCAAAUCUGCCCCAUAUGAAUUGAAGCACGCCCCAAGUGGAUUUGGUUUAUAUAAAUAUGAUUUUAAACUCUUUUUAGACUCAUUUUGAUGAUAUAAGGUUGCUCCACACAAUUGUUGCAAGUCUGCCUUAUUGGAUCCGUAUCAAUACUCUUGAACAAAUAAAACCUUUUGUUAGUGAAGAAUUUUGGGAAAAUUUAGAGAAUUCUUGUAUUUCACUCUCUCUCUCUUUACAAUUGGUUUAUAUGACUAUUUAUACACAAAGAAUUAUAUCUAAAUAGGAAGUAAAUAAUCAAAUAAUAAUUACAGAGAUUAUUAAGGAUCCUAAUCAAAUCAAAUCAAAUCAUAUCCCUAGAAUUCAGUUAGGAUCAGCAAAUAAGUCAACACUCCCCCCCCUCAAGUUGGUGCAAAGAUGUCGCACAUGCCCAACUUGCAAAUCAAAUUAUGGUAGAUCUUGUUGUUGAGUCCUUUAGUAAACACAUCCGCAAGUUGCCCAGUAGAAGUCAUGAACUAGGCUCAAGAUACCGUCUAUUAAUUUUUCUUCAAUGAAGUGCCGAUCAAUUUCAAUGUGUUUCGUUCGGUCAUGUUGGACUGGAUUUUGUGCUAUACUUAUAGCAGCUUUAUUGUCACAAUAUAAAGUUAUCUUGUCUCUCUCGAGCAACCUCAACUCCUUCAAUAACUUCUGUAACCAUAAGAGUUCACACACCUUGGGCCAUUGCUCUGUAUUCUGCUUCAGCGCUUGACCGAGCAACAACAGUUUGUUUUUUGCUCCUCCAGGUGACAAGGUUCCCUUCCACAACUGUGCAGUAGCCAGAGGUGGAUCUCCUGUCAUCGAGAGAUUCUGCCCAAUCUGCAUCUGUAAAAGCUUCAACUUGGAGGUGACCCUGUUUGGAGUAAAGAAGCCCUUUCCUUGGCACAGACUUUAGGUAUCUUAAGAUGCGAAGUACAGCUUGCAUAUGAGUCUCGCGAGGGUCAUGCAUGAAUUGGCUGACUAAGCUAACAGACAGCAUAGGCUAUAUCCGGUCAAGUGUGUGAGAGAUAAAUGAACCUUCCUACCAAUCUCUGGUAUCUUCCAAUAUCCACGGACUCACCAGUUCCUGCUUUCAACUUGUGAUUACUUUCAAUGAGAGAUUCUGCUGGUUUACACCCCAUCAUACCAGUUUCUUCCAACAGAUCCAAAAUGUACUUUUUUUGGGAGAUGAAAAUUCCUUUUUCUGAUCUAGCCACCUCGAUACCUAGGAAAUAUUGCAGUUUUCCUAGAUCUUUGAUUUCAAAUUUCUGAGCUAACAACCUUGUUAGUUGAGUCAUUUCCUCUUUGUCAUUGCCUGUCACCACUAUAUCAUCAACAUAAACAAUAAGAAGGGUGAUCUUACCCUUGUGAUGUUUGAUAAACAGAGUGUGAUCAGCAUUGCUUUGUUGGUAACCAAAAGACAUCAUGGCUCUGCUAAACCUGUCAAACCAAGCUCUAGGAGAUGGUUUUAGCCCAUACAAAGCCUUUUUUAACCUGCACACCUUUCCUUGUAUCUUCUCAUCAGCGAAUCCAUGAGGAAUUUCUAUGAACACUUCUUCCUCUAAAUCUCCAUGGAGGAAAGCAUUCUUCACAUCAAACUGUUGCAAGUCCUAGUCCAAGUUGGCUGCAUAGGAUAACAAAACUCUGAUUGAGUUCAUUUUUGCAAUUGGGGCAAAUGUCUCUUGGUAAUCCACUUCAUAGGUUUGGGUGAAUCCUUUAGCAACCAAUCUGGCCUUAAACCGUUCAAUUGUGCCAUCAGCUUUGUGUUUCAUUGUGAACACCUAUUUACAGCCAACGAGUUUCUUCCCAGGUGGGAGAGGGACAAGCUCCUAAGUCUCAUUUUUAGCCAAUGCUUUCAUCUCUUCAAUCAUUGCUUUCUUCCACUUAGGAUCUGCAAGAGCUUUCUUCCAAUCCUGUGGAAUCGACACAGAGGAAAUAGACAAGGCAAAGGCUCUAUAGGAAGGAGAUAAGGAUUCAUAAGAAACAAAGUUAGAAAUAGGGUGUUUAGUACAAGAUCUGACCCCUUUUCUUUGUGCAAUAGGUUUAUCUAAGUCAUUGAAACAUUCAAGAGUUGUGGGGAACUCACCAGAAGAAAGAGUUGUGGGUAACUCACUUGAAGAAGAUUCAUGACUGGGUAACUCACCAGGAGAAGAUUCUUGACUCUGAGUAGACUGCAUAAUGGCUUCUUCUGCCUUGUCUCUCCUCGAAUACGUUCUCAAAUCUGGCUUGUCCAAACGACCAGUUCUCUCUCCCUGAUUAGACAUCUCCCCCUGUCUACUAGAACUCAAACUUUCUAGUUGAGCCAUAUCAUUCAGAAUCACAGAAUUCGGGAUCACCUUUUCUUGCUCAUUAUUCUCCCCCUCAAGAGGUGAGUGAGUGGUACUGAAGUAGGGUUUAGUUUCUCGGAAGGUAACAUCCUUGCUAACUAAGUAUUUCCUAGAGGGAGGAUGAUAACACUUGUAUUCCUUCUGUGUUGGAGAAUACCCAACAAACACACAUUUAAGGGCCUUGGGAUCUAAUUUUCCUGCCGUCCUAGUAUGUACAAAGCAAACACACCCAAAUACUUUUGGUGGAACAACGUAUGAAUUCUUCCCUUGUAGAACCGCCAAAGAACUCAUAAAGUCAAGGAUCUUGAGAGGCAUUAUAUUGAUAAGAUAAGCAGAUGCAAGAAUUGCAUCUCCCCAAUAUGCUUUGGGUAGAUUCAUGAUGAACAUAAGAGAUCAAGCUACCUUCAAUAGAUGCCUAUUUUUCCUCUCAGCAACGCCAUUUUGAGCACUAGUAUAAGGACAACUAGUCUGGUGUACUAUCCCAUUACUCUCCAAAUAAGCAAAAAAGCUACUAUCCAUAUAUUCUAUUCCAUUGUCAAUUCUCAAAAUUUUCACCUUAGUAUCAAAUUGAGUACAAACCAUCUUAUGAAAUGAUUGAAAACAAGAAAAGACAUCACUUUUAGCUUUAAUCAAAUAGACCAAAGUCAUUCGAGUGCAACAAUCAAUAAAGGUGACAAACCAUCGAUUACCAGACAAGGAGACAGUUUGAGUAGGCCCCCAAGCAUCAGAAUGAAUAGUCGCAAAAGGAAUUUGACUUUUAUUAUGACUCAAAGGUAGGAUGUUCUAGUGUGUUUAGCAUACUCACAAGCAUCACAAAAUAGGGAAUCAAACUGAGUUCUAGCAAACAAAUUAGGAUAAAGUUUUUCUAAGACAAAAAAUAAUGGAUGCCUUAACCGUUUGUGCCACUGUAUUAUUUCCUGAUUGACAUCCUUAUUUUCUCCAAAACAGGCUUGAGAUAUCGAAGAACUUGGAUCACCCUCCAACAUAUAUAAGCCAUCAUGCAGCCUACCAUUGCCAAUCCUCUUUCCUGUGCGAAGAUCCUGAAUAACACAAUGAUCAGGAAAGAAUUCAAUUUUACAAUUAAGGGCAUUGGUAAUAGCACUGACAGAUAAAAGGUUGACAGGAAAGUGGGGAACAUGAAGGACAUAUGAUAAUUUAAUGUUAGAUGUGCAAAUAACAGAACCUGUUCCGGAUAUGGGAGUAAAAGAGCCAUCAGCAAUUCUGACACUAUCUUUGGUUAGAGAAGGAAAAUAAUUGAGAAAGCCUUUAUUAAGAGAGGAAGCAUUACCUAACUUUACAAAGUUAGAUGUGGCACCGGAGGACGAGGAAUCAGAGUUAGGAAUCAAGACCUUUUUACCUUCUGCCAUGGUAAAGAUUUGUGAACCGUGAAAGAAUAGGAGGUACCCAAGGUUGUACACACAAGAGAGCCCAACCAAUUCACUAAAAGACCGGGUAGCGGCACAGGAAGGCUGGAAAGAUGGUCGAAAUCGUCGCCGAAGUGAUUGGAGCGGCGAAGCAGCGUCAAGCGAUUGGUCACGCGUCGGGAAAGGGAGCCGCGUGAGCCUCAUGUGCGGGCUUUUUGGACGUCGGAGCUGGGCGAUCGGCCGGCGACAGUUCUGGUGCCGGCAGUGAGAGGAGGAAAGACUCCUAGAUGGGUUAGUACCAAAAAAGGUAGAUCUAGGGUUUUGAAACCCUAAAGAGGAAAAAAUUAAAUUUGAACCCUAAAAUCAGGAAAAGGCUCUGAUACCGUGAAGAAUUUUGGGAAAAUUUAGAGAAUUCUUGUAUUUCACUCUCUUUACAAUUGGUUUAUAUGACUAUUUAUAUACAAAGAAUUAUAUCUAAACAGAAAGUAAAUAAUCAAAUAAUAAUUACAGAGACAAUUAAGGAUCCUAAUAAAAUCAAAUCAAAUCAUAUCUCUAAAAUUAGUUAGGAUCAGCAAAUAAGUCAACAGUUAGCAUACCCUUUCUAAUAUACAAGAUAUUUACACAUGGAGAAAGAAAAAUAUUGAAUGCAAGACCAAGUCAAAGUCACUAAUGCAGUUGAGAAAAACUAGCUUCAUGUGUUGUUACUACCUAUGAUAUUCUACUUGCUAGUAGUGUUGCCUCCUAUAUAUUAAUGGUGCUGCUAGUGGUUGAUGGUGCUGUUAGUGGUGUGCUAUUAGUAGUGGUGUUAGUGUUAUGCUUUAUUUUCUUCCACUUUUCUUGGUUGUAGGAGGGUGAUUCUCUAUGUUUUGAUCAUGCUAAUAACUUCCAUUGUUUAUAGGAAGAGAUUAUCUCUUCCUUUUGUAUUUAAGUUCAGUUGAGAUAAUAAAGGAGACAUGAUUGAUUUGCCAAAAAUUGUCGAGUACUUAACUCUAUAGAUUUUCAAGUUUUCUCUUAACGAGCUUGUACAACCUUCAUCAUGGGUCAAAAAAGAAACAAACACUUUCUUCUUCAAUCAUUGAUCCAUUAAUUCCUCAAUCUCGUCCCAUAACUCGAUCCAUUUCUAAGGACCCUAACACCUUUCUCUAUAUAGAAGCAAUAAUUUACUGCCAUCGUUAACCUUUUAGUUGUCAUUGCAAUAAAUAUUUAUAUUUUAUUGAAAGAUGAUGGAAUUAGAACAACAUUUUGAAUUGCUUCUCUCUCAUUGUUGCAGAUUCAAAAACACAAAUCCAGUUAAUUGCUGACACCUGCAGAAGAAGCUGUGAACCUCUGAUCUGCAAGCAAUGGUUGUCUCAAUUGCCAAACCAGAACAAUGGAGUAGCUGGUUGGAUUCUCUCUCCAUUGUCACUUGGCAUCUUAAGCAAUUGCUGGAAGUAUCCCACGAAAGUUGAGUUUGCAUGGCUUUGAGGAAGCAUACAGUUUUUUUAAGAGAUGCAUCCGUUCUUUCAUUCUUUAUGCAAUUGUUCAUUACGUGUGAAGGCUUUGUCUUCAAUAUGUAUAAAUCUUGUCCAUUUAUUCUUAUGAUAAAAACUUUGGUGAAUAUGAAAUAUUGACAAAAGGAAAAGGAAAAAUGAAUAAGAAAUAACAGUAUCAUCUUUGUAUUUGUGUACUUUUAUACUGUUGCUUGGGAAUAAAUAUGUAUUGAACUGUGUUCAAUGAACAUUUCUACCCUUCAAUUCUAUAGGAUGAGAGACAAAAAUCAGUAGCAGCACCAACCUCAUCUAAUUAGAUCAGCUUAGGUCUUUAAUAAGAACAAUUCCACCUAAGUAUGAUUAGACUAAAGGUAUCAGAUCUUAGGGAAAGUCCUCUAUGGAUAGGUUAUCGCUUGAUAUUGGUGUCAUUAAAUCGUCAAGUAGUGAAGCCAUUAGCACAUUAAAAGAAAGUGCAUACCUAGAACGGCUUUAUAUGAAUCUAUGUAGUGGAGUCCAUAUAUUUACAUUAUAAAUCUAUGUAGACCUAAUGCAGAUAAGAAUGGCCCCAAAUUAAAUGCUAUAAUAUUUUAGCAUACGCACAUUUUGGAUAACAUUUAAUUAUAUUUAUUAUUAAUCUAUAUAGUUCACUAUUUUGAUCUUAACAAGAUGUCUCUUUUAGUCAAAGUAUAGAUUUUGGGGAUUGAAUUUUUACAGGUAUCUGACCCAAUUCAACAUUAAUUGGAUAGAUUUUGAUAGCAUAUAAUUGAGUUUAAGUUUCAUAAAUAAGAAAAAUUAUUGCAUGCAUCUAGGUAUACAAAUAUUGUAUAUCCAACCAAUUUAAAAUUAGAAUAUCAUAUUAAUAUGUGGAUUACAUUUUCUCUAAUUUUAUAUAAGGUAUCAAUUUUAGAUUGGAUCGGUAUAUAGAUCUAGCUGUGUGUAAGAAUUUUCCCAUAAAUAAUAUCCAUGUUCGAUUGGGGUUGGGUUUUUGUAUAUUGAAUAAUCAGUACUAUAUACAUAAAUAGUUAAAUAUACUUUUUAUAUUUUAGGUCUAUUGGUCCAAAAAAUUCAAACUUUACUAGUUUUCAUAUUUAUAGCCUAAACUUUUAAUUUUGAAUCAAAAAACUCCAACUUUUAAAUUAGUUCAUAUAACACACCAUGUAUCAUUAUUUUUACCAUAUAAAUAGUUUAAUUAUCUUGAAUUAAACUUUGAUUAAGACCUUAAACCCCUAAUUAUCUAAAAAGAUUUUUAUUUAAGUAUAAGAGAAUUAAGUAUUUUAAUUAUAUAAUCUAAGAAUUUCAUAUAAUUAAUAGCUUAGAAUCUUAAUUACGGUUGAAUUCUAGUUAGUCAAAUUGCUUAUGCGAUGAAAAUAAUGACAUAUGACAUAUUGUGUAAGUUAAUUUAAAUUUGGUUAAAAUUAAUUUAAAAAGUUGCUAUAAUUACAAUAAAUUCAAAAGUUGAGGCUUUAUAUUCAAAAUUAAAAGUUUAGGCUAUAAAUGUGAAAAUCAGCAAAGUUGUUGUCUUUUUUAGCCAAUGAGCCUGUAUUUUAUAAUAACAUUUAUAUCUUUUAUAUAUAUGGUAGAUGGAUGCCACUUAAAAGAACCUUAUGAUGGAGUAUUAGUAGUUGCCAUUGCUAUUGAUGGAAAUAAUGGGGUUAUCCCAUUAGCAAUAGGCAUUGUUAAAGUGGAGUGUAGAUUAAGUUGGGAUUUCUUUAUGUCCUAUUUACAAGAUUGUAUUGGUAGCGGUAAUAACGAUAAGCUGUACAAAUUUAUGAGUGAUCACCAAAAGUUAAACUCACUUUCAUUCAUUGUUAAUGUAGUAAAAUAUUAUUUGACUACUUCAAUCAUUAUUCUUUAUUCUUUGUAGCGUAUUGUUGAAUCCGUUAACAUUCACUUUCUCACUGUAUGUCAUCGCUUCUGUGCAAGACACUUGUUUAACAACUUCAAAUGGCAAUUCUGAAGAUUAGGAUUGAAGAAACAAUUUUGGGCAGCGGCUAAAACAACACAUGGGUAUCACUUCUGGAAAGUUAUGCGAGAAAUAAGAAAAUUGAAAGAUGGUGCAGCUUAUAACUGGUUAAUGCAGUUUUUAUUAAGUCAGUUGUAUCGCCAUUCAUUUUGGGAAGAUGCAAAGAUAGAUCACCUCACAAACAAUAUGACUGAACCAUUAAAUAGUUGAAUAAUGAAAAUAAGAGGAUAGCCUAUAGUAUCACUACUUGAAGCUUUUCGGCAAAAGAGUAUGGUGAGAAUGCACAAAAGUAUGCAAAUGCAUGUAAUUGGGAUGAGACACUUACACCAAAAGUAAAGAACUCCCUUAAUACAAUUAUAUAGGAGAGUCGACAUUGCCGUUUGUUGCCGGGGAGAAAUGACGAGUUUAAGGUUCAUGAUGGACCUUUAAAAUUUGCAGUCAAACUGCAACAAAAGACUUGUUCUUGCAAUUGGUGGACAAUAGUAGCCUCCCUUGUAAACAUGUUACUUUGUGCAUGGGGUAAAGAGAGGCAACAUUGAAGAUUAUUGUAAUUCUUAUUAUAUUUUCUCAACUUAUAUGCAAGUGUAUGAGGGGGUAAUUCAUCUGGUGCCUGAUAAAGAAUUAGAACUACCUUCUGAUGAGCAAUGCAUGAAUUCUCCUCCAUUGAAGAGGUUACCUGGUAGACCUCAUAAAGUCAGGAGAAGGGAAGAGGGUGAAGGUGGACCUUCUUUUAAACGAAAAACUGUAACGACCCGAAAAUCGGACCGCUACCGGCGCUAGGAUCCAGAUCGGCUUAAGGCCGCCGGGACCCGUAGCAAGCCUGACAUGAAACCUGUAAACCUGUAUAAUCCCAUACAUGAUCAACAACAUGCAUAAAAAAAUUUAAAACUUUUCUUUCCAUAUACAUCAACCAAACUCAACCUGUACAUAUGCAUUAACAUAACAUUGAUCCCUCUGUGGGAUCUCAUCUGUGCCUUUCUUUCCAUAUACAUCAACCAAACUCAACCUGUACAUAUGCAUUAACAUAACAUUGAUCCCUCUGUGGGAUCUCAUCUGUGCCCCCAAUGGGUGACAUAACAUAUGCUGAGUUGGUUUACAUAAACAUCAUAAAAAUCUCUAAGAUCAUGUAAUAAAAGGGAUAACAACCAUCUAUGGUCAAGUACACCUCUAACAUCCAUAUACAUCAUCUCAUUACACAACUAUACUGAUUAAGACUUUACAUUACAAUUUGAUCAUGUCCAUUGCUAGCUAUUACAUAAACAAAACUUCAUUAUUCUAUCCGGACUCCUGCUCUAUCCUGUACCUGCAAGCCUGGGGGUAAAGGGAGAAGGGUGAGCUAAAAGCCCAGUGAGCAGAACUGUAAAACAUAUUAACACUAUGCUCUAUGAAAUGCAUCAUAACACAGACAAUUCACAUAAGGGUUGGGUGAACUUGUCACCAAUUAGUCCAAGCUAACUCUGUGCCAGGCCGUAGCAUGGGGUCCUGGUCUUCCUGUCAUAACAUACAUUACUUACCAUUGCCCCAGGGCCUCCUCUGGGCUCCUGGUCUUCGAGUCCCAUAACCGUGCCAGGCCGUAGAAUGGGAUCCUGGUCUUUCCUUACUCUGUGCCAGGCCGUAGAAUGAGGUCCUGGUCUUCCUGUCAUGGACGAAUUGGGUCAUCCAAUAUUCACCCACAUCAACAACAAUCGAUGUAAUGCAGCAUAUUCGUGAAAACUAAUGCAAUCAUCCUAUUGCAUAAUCAUGAUGCAUGAAACAUGAUAAAACAUUCAAUUUCUCAAUUUAAAAGAUUAAGUUUAGUUCCACUCACCUCUGGCUGACUCUGACAACACCGAAGCAGCUGAACUCACUGCUGGGGUCCUCGGUUCCUCGGGUCCGAACCUACACAGGUGGACUCAAAUGAGGGACCAAACACACCUGAACAUAACCAUAAACUACUCCCCAAAAACCCCCUAGAACAUCGUGAAACAACCAUAAAAAAACAUGCAAAAGAGGCCUGGACAGGGCACUUUCGGCGGCAGGUUCAGCGGCCGAAAGUCCCUCCAGAGCCGAAAGUCAGGCGGGUUCGGCGGCACCUUCGGCGGCCGAAACUCCCAGACAGAGACGAAACUCAUGCAUGUUCGGUGGCACUUUCGGCGGCCGAAACUGCCAGACAGAGACGAAAGUCUCCUUUCGGGGGCAAGCUUCAGCAGCCGAAAGGCUGCCUCCCCAGCCAUGUUCGGCGGCCGAAAGUCCUUCGGCUGCCGAACCUGGUUUCUGGCAAAGGGCAGAAACUUGGCUCCCUUUUGCUCAUUUCGCCUCCAAACCUUCCAAACAUGCAUCAAACCUAUUCUACAACACACAAACACAAGCAUACAUGUUCCUAGGGGCCUCAAACUAUCAUAAACCCCAUCUACAACACAUUAAGUAUCCACAUUGCUAAAGAACACACAUUUAUACCCAUAAACAUAACCAUAACCUAAACAUGCAUUCUAACCCAUAGAUCUUGCAUAAAACUUAUUUAAAACAUAAAACGAGCUCAAGAUCGGCUCUUACCUCUUGAAGAUCGAGAGAGACGACCAAAAACUCGGAGUUGGGAGAGAUUGGGUUCUUGAACCUCCAAGCUCCAAAACUUUGCUCAAAAGCUCAAAUCUUCAAAACAAAGUUAAAACAAAUGAAAAUCUCGAAAGAUCUAGAGGAAAGACGUCAAGGAUGGGUGAGAGACGGCGGAGACUCACCUUGGCCGAAAAGGGGAAGAAAGCUCGCCCGUUUUCGGCUAAGGGACCCUUUUAUAGUGGCUGGCCAGACCACGUUCGGGGGCCGAAUGUGCCUCCGCAUGCAUGCCAUGUUCGGCGGGCGAACUUGAGGUUCGGCGGCUGAACCUAGACUUCCCUCACUUAUGCUUUCGGGGGCCUAAAGCACACCCGAAACGCAUGCAUGUUCGGCGGCCGAACUUGAGGUUCGGCGGCCGAACCUGAGUUUUCCUCCAAUGCUAUUUUCAUGCAAAAACUCAUUUUCUUUCAUGCUUAAAACAUAAAACACAUUAAAACAUUUUAUGAAAACAUGGUUUUACCCUUCUAGAGGCUUCCGACAUCCGAGAUUCCACCGGACGGUAGGAAUUCCGAUACCGGAGUCUAGCCGGGUAUUACAAAAACGAUAUGUUCAAAUUGCAUAGAGUUUGAGCAUAAUAAACACACGUCAAAGGGUACUUGUUCAUACCAUUGUAUGUUAAAUUAAUUUAACUUAAUUUAUUUUAUAAUUAUAAACAAAUUAUCUUUUGUAAUUAUACAUACUGAUAUUAUUUGUUAAAAUUGCAGCAAUCGACACAACGAAAUAUGGAUAGUCAAGAAAGAAAUGGUCUAUGUUUUCCAAUAUUUAUGUAGUUGUUGUAUUCAAAUAACAUAUUUAUAUUAAAUUCGCUCAUUUAUAUGUUCCAUUUAAACAGGGAACAUAAGUUAAUGCAGAUACAAGCAAUCGUUAGAUAAACAAAGUGACAAUAGUUAGUUGGCAUGAUGUCUUUAUGAUCUUUAUAUUUAUUAUGAAGGGUUCUAUGUAGAAAAUAAAUGAAUAUAAGUUAAUUCUAUGUAGAAAAUAAAUGAAUAUAUAUCUAACUUACAUAAAUUGUGGAUUUGCAUAUACUUUUUGAACUUUUUGAAACUUUUUAUUAAUCAUAAAUAUGGACCGUUUGAAGAUUUGAAGGUUUUUGUAGAUUUCAUGGCAAAGAAAUUGAUAUGAAGCUAAUUUGCAAUAGCUAUAUGUGCAGCUCACUUUUUGAUACAUUUUGGAUCUUUUUUGUGUGAUGUGGAUAUGGUGGAUAUUAUUAAAAUUAUUUUGUGCAAUAUGAACAGUUUUAUAUGUAAACACUCCCUUUGUAGGAGUAUAGUUAGUAUAUGUGCAAAUAUCAUGGUUUGUAUAUUUAAGACAUAUUUUUUAUAAUAAAUUACAUUAACCUCUGUUAACUAUAUAGAGCAUGCUCUUCCUUAUCUAUUUUGUAUGAUUCAAGCAAGGAGAAGUGUCAUUGACUUUCAAAUAUAUCUAUAUUAUACUUGUUUAUACAUAGCAAUUCAGUCCCUAUAUUAUUAAGAUAUUAAUAUAGUAGUCCCUCCAUUUUAAUUUUAUUAAACAAAUUGAUCUGUUGAUUUUCAUGUUCAUAUUAAAUAUGCCCCUAAAUUUAUAUAUUGUAUAAUAAUUUAGCCCCUCCUUUUAAAUAUGUUAUUCUUUCAAAAUAAUAUAACCAUAAAAGAUUAGUUAAGCUACUUUCAGUACAAAAGGCAAAAAUCCAUAUCAACAAUCAUAGAAUAAGUAUAUAGCCAAUUAUUCAUUUAAUUACUUAAAACCUAUUCACACUAAAAUACAGGGAACUUUUCAUAUGACCAACUCCUGACAAAAGGCACUACUGAUGGUACGUAAUCUAUAAUAAAAGAUCCUCAAAAUGUCCUUAACUGACAAUAUCAUUAACCCAUUACAACAAUCAACAACAUAAGAAGGAUAAAAAAAACCCAACACCCACAAUUAAUGCAACCAGCACCUUCAAGUCACCCACACAUGCUUCAAUAGCAUUCAACUGCAAUAAUAUCAUCUUGUUUUCUUGCUUGAAACUUAGAACUUCAUCCAUCAAUUCAAUAAUUUCUCUACCAUAAUUCAUUUGCCUAACACCAUAUUUCACAGUUUCUUUACUUGUUGAAAACUUACUAACAGCAACACACCAUCAAAGAAAAAUGUCGCAUUUGUUAUCUCGGCAAGCAUAAUAUAAGCAAUUCUUAUUAUUGUCACUUUCAGAUAUUUUGACAGUUGCCAUUUUUUCAUAUUUGCAGUUUAUAUUCAAGUAUCUACCUUCCCAAUCGAAUAGUGAUGAAGACCCGCAUGUUAUCGACAUUUUCAGCUAAAAGAAGAUGAAAAUGAAAGAAGAUGAAAAGACAUGGAAAAUCAACCAAAAUCAAGAAAAAAAAAGAAGGAAUAACAUUUACCUGACAAAUAAAGCAAACGUUCAAUAGAGAAAAAGAUGAAAUUUCUGGUGUUUAUUACCCUUAUACACAUAAUGGGUAUUAGAGGGAAGCAUCAGCACCUUCCCAUCACUUUGAAAGGUAUUUUAGGCAAUAAAAAUUACAUGUUCAUUGAUAAUAGUCGACUCAUAAUAAAAUAUUUUUUUUCAUGGGAGGUACCAUUUUAUUAGAUGAAAAUAAAAGUCAAGAAUUAAAUUGUUACACAAAAUUUAAUGAAAAACGAGUUUGUGAAUUUUGCAAAUUUCAAAGAUGUUUCUAUAAAUUAUCCUAUUAUUUUUUAAUUGAAAAACAGCAAGAAAACAUUAUUUUUAUUAUUAAUAAAAACUGUAGAAAAACAUUUUAAAGUUAUUUUUUAAAUUAUAGUUAAAUGUUAGAAAAUUAAAAAACCAAUUUUCCAAUUAAAAAAUUGAAAAACUGACGUGAAUAUAAAACUCUAUUUUCCAAUUUGUUUAAAAAAAAUUUCUACAUGAAAACAGGCUCAUAGUUUUUCUACCUCUAGGAUUCCCUGAUUCAUUCUAUUAUCUCUCAUUCGGCGAUCAAUUAAACAUCCACAAAACUGACUGGUGCUAGUAUUUGUGAAAGAAGCCUAUCUCAUUGAAUGGGUUAUUGGUUAUACAAAGUUUUAACAAGUGAGCAAGAGAACACACAAGAUCAUAUUCUCUAAUAAUUACAACUUCAAAAAUUUGGCUGCUGUACAUUCACAUUUCCACUCAAAUUCUCAAGUAAAGCAGCAUCUUGGCCUGACCUGACUUCCACUACAAAUUUUACAAGAACCAGUCCUGUUAGAAUCAACAUAUGAAUACAUAAUUCAGUCAAUAUAAAAAUAAAUGAGAUGUGUUUGUGUACCAAUUAUAAAAAUUAAAGAGUGAAAAAAAAAACCUAGUUUAACACUAGGAUGUGCGGGUUACUUUCUAACAUAUAUUCUCACAAGUAAAACAAUUACAAAAGGAACAAAAAGUACAUAUACCAAGGAGUGAACGGAAAAGAAUGCUCCAACUCUAGUGUGAAUGACAGCAUUUCUAACCUUAGCAAUGAAAAGUGGUGUCCACAAAUCAUACAUUUCACAUUUGAAAAAAAAAAUAAUGAUAACAAUUGAUGACCAUCCUGUAAAAUAUUAACAUUAAAAUAUGGACUUACCAAAAAUUUAACAAUAAAUUUUUAUCAGAACAAUUAUUUUGGAUCGAUUGCCAUAGGGGUGAUUCGUCUCUUGGCAGGUUUAUUUGAGAUAGGAAUACUAAUUGAGCUAGGGGAUGCCUGUUUCCCUUCAUUCUUCUCCACAUCUGUCUUUUUGCUAUUCUCUGCUAUGGAACCAGCAUCUGCAGGUGUUUCGAUCACUAUUUCCUCUCGUUUGUCAAUAAUAGGGCUUUUAUUCUCAUGAACCAGGUCUUUCUUGUGCUCUGCAGCAGAUACUAAAAGAAUAUUUAAGGGUCGUAAGUGCAGAAGAAAACUGAUGUACAAACAAGAAAGAUAUAAAUCAAUAAUAACAGCAAACCUGCUAAGGGGAUGGGCAAUCCCAGUUCAUUGGUUUCAAAUUCUACCAAAGUACAAUAACCAUCUUGAGAAGAUACAGCCAAAUACUGGGCACUCAAUGACCUUAGAGAAAAAAAUGGGAAUGAAUUUUUGAUAUUUUAAUCAUCCAAAGGAUAGGCAUUGAAGUAGAAAAAAUUUCAUGAGAACCAAAGCCUUUUGUCUUAUGUAUUAGUUUUAUGAAGAGAAAGAUGCAGGCAAAAAUCUUGUUGCAAUUCUGUUGCAUUUUCUUGUCUACUAUGAAACUUCUGUUAACAUUACAACAGGAGACAAUAGAUAUAGAAGCAAAUUUUUUCUACUCAUAUCAGUCUUAUUAUUACUUUCUUUUUUUUUUUUGUUGGGGGGUGGGGGGUGUUGGGUCUGGGGGAGAGGAGGAGUAUAAAGGUAUGUUUCUAUCGAAUUUAUAAUUCUUCUUUUUCUUCUUCAUUUUUAAUUCUUAGGAGUUAGGAGGGUGAGUACCUAUCUAAAUCAUAAAACUCACCAGGCAAUAUCAGUUAUGGCUGCAUAGUGAAGACCGGCCAAGAUUGCUAUUGGAGGAGCACUUUCUGUAUCAUAGAUAUACAAGGAGUUUAAAGUAGCCACUGCAAAAAUUAGGCGAUACGGAAGCUUGAAGAAACCAGCUGCACAAGUCCAUAAAGGCAAAUAGGUUAAACAUCACACUUUUGAUCAGCUAUAAUCCAUUCCAUAAAACAAACAGAAUGGAUACCUGAGUCCGAUUCCCUCAGGCUAAAAGCCAUGGGGCAAAAUCGAACAGCUACGACAGGUUUACUAGCACCAGGGAGCAUUAAAGCAGGCCUGCAUAUCACAAAAAUUGAAAAAGAAAAUGAAUCCGAGAUAAAGUAAGUUUCCUUAAUUUAGUUCAUUAUUUGAAAUUUUGAAUACAUUUUCAAGUGCUAAAUGUUAGAAAACCAUAACAAGGAAUUAUAUUAGCUCAUUCUGCAUUUACAGAAAUUGGAUUUUAUUCUGAUAGAUGAGACUUCAAAACUUGACUGUGGGAUGCCAAUACAAAUAAAUACUCAGUUCAAUUGCACGUCUUACCUUGAGAAAUCCUUCCUGGAAAAUGCAUAAGCAGUAUUUACUGCAUCUGAUGCAGGUGGUAUUUUGUGAGAACCUGCAAUGCCAAAUUUGUUUCAAGAGUAAAUAACACCAAAAGGAAAAUAUAAUCAUAUUGCAUAUACAGCCAUAAAUAGAAAAGCUAUAGACGUUUUAGACUCCAGAUUAGGUUAUGACAAUUAGAUAAUUACUAAUACUGAAUCCAUAUCAACAAAUUUAGAACUUCUUACCUAACCAUCCUAGUAAUAAAAUAAAAUGAAGAAAACAAGAAGAGGAAAUUGGCAUCUCUGCUAUGACCUACCACAUCAACCAAGUUCAUAUACCAUAUGCUCAACGUUUAAAAUCACAUUCCAAAUACUAGAAAAUAAAUAAAAAAAAUGGAAGAGGAAAUUAGCAUCUCCACAAUCACAUCAAACAGCUUCAUAAAUCAUAUGCUCAAGUUUAAAGCAAUCCCACAGAAUCAUAUUGCAAAUCCUAGCAAUCCACCCAGACAAGCAAGAAAAUAAUCAGAAAAAUGAAGGUUCAACAAAAUAUAUAUCGAUUCUGAGACUAGUCAUCACCAUAAGAUUGUUUGCAAUUGCAGGAAACAGAAUAGGAUCCCUUUUUUUGGUGAAGUUAAAAGUAAAGUUAAACAACAAAAUCAUUUUCCCAGAAAAGAUAAAGUUACAGCUUAAGGUUAUAUAAGCAAGAAUAACAAUACUGCUCAUGAAAAUAGGAGAAGUAGGUGUGUAAUAAAGCAAUAGAAAAAGUAUCAUUAAUGACUUCUUAAUAGAUCGGACAUUAUUCUUGGGUCAGUACCUGCGGGCACAAGUAAAAAUGAUCCGUCAGGUGACCAUGCUAAUCUUCGGAAGAAAGAUGGCAACGUUUCAUCAUGAAAGAGAUGGUUUUUUGAAGACUGCAUCUCAAAACAUGCAUGAGGUUUAUAACAGGUAACAAAACCAUCUAUAAUCUGCAGCAAAUGAAUAUAAUCAUGUAAUUCCCACCUUAGAAUCAUCUGCAGACUGGUGCUCUGUCUUUGCAAUGACAUGUUGACAAACAUAAUUCAUCUUCUCAACAGCUUUUGUUUUUAACUGAGGCUUGUUCAUAUAAACUCGGCAAGUUCUAUCUGAACUAAGAGAAGCAACAUACUUGGUCAACGGAUCCCAAGCCACACCUUGAACAUAAUGGAAAUGACUAUCCAAUAACUGAUGCACAGAACCUGAAGAAGAAGAAGAAGAAGAAAAGACAAUACAAGGGAAAGGAAAAAAGAGGAAUCAGAAAAUCCACAACCAAAACACUCUAAUUAAUCUGCACAAAGGUCUUUAUUGUCUUUCUUGCCUUUGUUAACAUCCCAUAUGAUGCAAGAAUUAUCAACUGAUCCAGAGAUCAAAAAUGCACCAUCAGGAGACCAUUGCAGAUCCAAAAUGUCUUUGCGAUGAAAGCUGGCCCAAAAGAAGGUAAAAACAGAUAUUGAAACCAAAAUACAUACAGUCAAAGAUGAAGAUAAAUUACCAGUGCUCGUAGUGCGCAAUAGAUACAAAUGUGUUCAAGAAUCUUGGGUUUGACUUGAUAACAAGUGAAUGUUGGCCAAAACACCAUGCCCCCCCCCCCCACACACACACAAAAAAAGAAAUAACAAUAAUAAUUGUUAUUGUUAUUAUUAUUAUUAUUAUUCAUGUUUACUUCUUAUGGUUUGAUCUCAACAAAGACAAAGUAGUGUUCUUUGUAUUGAAUACUGGUGUAAUAAAUAUUACAUUAUUCCUCUAAAUUCAAUCAGUAUGACAGAUUACAUGUGAAUUCAACUUUAGGAUCAUAUCAAAACCAUAAAGGUAAAUCACAUCAUGAUCCAAAUUUGACCGCUCAAAUUAACAGGCUCAUAUUUGAUUAGCAUAUGGCCAGGCUGCAGGUAGCUGCCUAAUAAUACAUUUAAAGAAAAGAGCUUACGAUAAAUUCUUGAGAACUUUCCAUGUUUGACCAGUUUCUGUAGAGUGUAACUUCCAUACAAUCAACUCCCCACCUGCACAGAGAUUAUAUUUAUGUAUUGUCCAAAUUGCCUAGAUAGUUAUCUCCGAAAAUUGACUGGCUAUAUUUUAAACUGGAACGACAAAAAGCUGCUGUAACUUAAGACAUACCAUCGGCACCGGAGGCAAGUAGAUCUCCUGCAUUGUAUGAAGAGUUGCAUUAUUUGAAAUGAAGAAAGAAAAGGAGUUAUAAUAAAGAUGAAGUAAGCAAGAUUACUGAAGUAUUUUAUGGAAGAUACAGUGAGUCGGUCCCUCUAUGUGGAUACACUAAUACUAGAGAAAUAGUACAUAUAGAAGACUAAGUUCAGAAGACAAGGGAUUGGAAAUUUGGAAUGGUGCCAAAUUGCCUUUAACCCACAGAACAAGAUAAAUGUGCUUUCUAUCAUACAGUAGUGGCUAACAUGCUGUCCUAUCACACACUAAAAAAUUCAAUCACUAACAAAUUGCAAUCAAAUGGGAUCAUUAAGGUAGGAUUUAUCUCCUCAUACUUUAUUAGAACUCAUGAAGAACAACCCGUGUUAGCUCAAUACUUAAUGCAACCAGGUGACUUGCUAGCUCAUUACCUAAUGCAACCAGGUCAAUCACCCACUUUGGAUGCAAUGUGCACAUAAUGCGCAAUUUAUAAACCAAUAUUAAUUUCUUAAUGGUUCCCUCACAAAAGUAUUAAUAAAGUAGGGGAAGAAAUAUUAUCCAAAAAUCCUAUUUUUAGCAGAUAAAAUGCUAGCUGAGGAUUGAGAAGGAUUACAGAAAAGGUUUGAAUAGGUAUCACCAGAAAGCUAGUAAGUUGAUAUCAGUACCAAACACAAGGAUACUCUUUUAUUUCGUUCAUUUUGUGAGAGCGGUUAUUUGUGCAUUUGAAAACAUCACAUAACACCUAAGUUAAGAACUUGGCAGUCCUACAACAAGAAAACAUGAUAGGAUAAAAAUAUCAGUUUCCCAUUUUAGCAUAAUCUAUACAUAUCAAAGUUAACUAAACAAUAAUAUUAAAAGCUUUGAGAUUAUGAUAUCUGAUUUAUAUAAAAAAAGCGUUAUUGUCAUUUAAAUAAGGAUAAUGAUUUAAAUGAAAACACACAAACCCAAAGAAGUGGUAAGUGGUACUAUAGUAUGCCACCUACAUUUAAUUAGCCCACAAAUUUUUCAUCUGGUAGUAAUUACUUGUUCUAAAAAAGAAAAGAAGAAAUAAAUUAAGGAUCGAAAUUUUAAUACCGGACUUGGAGAAACGAAGAGUAUUCACAGCAGAACAAUGGUGGGAAAGGCUAUUUUGAUAAGUAGAUGUUGGGAUUUUUUUCUGCGCUUCACCUGAAUUUAUUAACCAAAGCUGAAAUUUCCAUCAUAGCAAAAAUAGCAGUUAGUGCAAAAUUACUAUGGCUACAAAGGUUAUAAUAAUUUUGGAAGUUUGAACUCCAUUCCACCAAAUUGAAUUAUUUUAACAUAACAGAAAACUCAAGAAAAAAAAAAAAGAACCUUUAUAUGGCCAAUUUCGAAAAAUAUAUAUAUUCGGGAUAAUUUUUUAUUUUGGAGAAAAAAAUUCCAAACCCGCACUUUAAUUCCAUUAAGGCAAAUGCUUAUCGAUUACUAACAGCAGGAAAAAAAAAUCACAUACGAAAAAUAAAAUGGCACAAGUAUGCAAAAUUAAACCAUGAAAUCUGCUAGGAAUUAUGAUUUUAUAGUACCUUGAUGUCGAAGUCGGCGCCGCCGGUGGCGAGGAGACCGGAAAUGGGGUGAAAGUCUAGGGUUAGGACAGGUUUUGUGCCAUGCCAAUUGAUCUGAACAGUUCCUCCCUUCAUUUUCGCCUCCCUUCUUGUCAGAUCGUUUCUUCCUUGUUUGGUCUCUAGGAAAGUUGAGGAAAACUUUUGUAGUUGCUUUGAAGGGGGCGGGAGCAACAGAGAGAAAUGAAUAUCCGGCACUGGCGGGCUCUUGCUUUAGUUUGGCGGGAAAAGAACGAGCAAAUGGAGCCGAUGAUAGUGAAUUGCAAGUUGGGCCCACUCGGCCCACAGUUUUAUUACAAAGUUGAGCACAAGUUUUUUUUAAAAAAAUAAAUAAAUAGGACUAAAACAAUAAAAGCUAGACAGAACAAAGAUGAAGGAUAAGCCACUGCAUAAUCGCGCGCUAGCCAUGAUUUCACUUCGUGUGGAGGGAGAACAAGGCAGAAAAUCUAAGGAAUCUGCUAAAUUUAGAUUAAAUCUGAAUCACUCCAAAAAAUAUUUUAAAAAUAAAAGUGUUUAUAACCAUACAAAAGGCACGUUAUCGAUUUUCACAAUCAACAUAGCAUUCAACACAUGGAGGAGUGUCUGUAGCCAUAUAAGUAGCACAUUAUCCAUUUUUAUAACUAACGCGGCAUUCAACACACUUUUCAAUUUAGAUGAGAUCUAAAUUGCUCUAAAAAGUGGUUUAAAAGGGAGGAGUGCCUAUGACUUUAUAACGGACAUAUUUGAAAUAGACCAAUUCAUCUCAAAAAUUAAAAUAAGGAUGAAGAGUGUCUAUGACUCAUAUAAAGAGCACGUUAUCCCUUUUCACAAUUAAUCCGAGAUUCAACAGAGUUAUAGUAUUUUUUUAUUUUAAAUAAAAAUGAGCAUGAUGAUUAUAAAAACUGUUUGAAAAAAAAAAUCAAUACAUGUUUUUUAUUAAUAUCUAAAGGUGAAGUCGCCUUUCAAAUAAUUUUUAUAUCUUUUUCUAAUAAAAUAAGUUAAUUGAAGGAUUUAAAUAGAUAUGGGUAAAAUAGGAGAAAAAAAAAUAAAUUUUAGUUUUUCAUAAUUAUUUUAUCUCCAUUUUAGAGAAAAAAUAAAAAAAAGUAGGAGAAAAUAAAAAAAUAUAUACUUUUUAAUAAAAUUACAUUUUUAUCUUUUAUAUCUAUUAACAUUUCUUUCCUUCACGUUUUUAUUUUUUUAAUUAUCCAAAUACACGGGGAGAAAGUAAACGAGAAAAAAUAAUUAAAAACAUAUAUGUCAAUGGAGACGCUAUCCAUACCACUAGAUUUUAGUUAAUGGAAGGCAGCAAAUUUAAUGCACGCCUUAUUCGUGAUCCAAUUUAUUCCAGUCCAAAAAUUCAAUAGAUUUUAGUUUUUAACCCACGUGCUAGAAAAAAGAUGGGAAUAUUUGCCAAUGUUCACAGGCAAAAACUAAGUGCCUAAAAUCACAGAUUAGAUCUGCAUUUUAUAAACAACUUUUUCUAAAAAAAGAUGUAAGUUAAUUGGGUGGUUGACAUCAUCCAACACUCUUUCCAAUUUCUUCCAAAGCAAAAACUUCCAAAGGUCAAAAACUAAUCUCAAACACGAUUCCAAUGUGCCUUAUAUUGCAGCAUUUGUUAUUAGGGACACUUCCAACAUACACACACCCUUUGCUUUGCUGGCACAUAGAAAUUAAUUUAAUUUUCAUUUAGUAGAGAACCAAGAAAAACAUUUAAACAAUGUAUUCGCUUAUAAUAAUAACUUAUGUAUUUAUUUUAAUUUUGGAUUUUUCACUUUGUAUUAUUCAAUUAUUUUUCAGAAAAUACGUACAAUUAAUUUUCAUAAUCACAAAAUAUUGUUGUAAUAUAAUUUUAUUAUAGAAGACUCAUUAUUUUAUAUUUAAAAAAUAAUUACUUUUUAUUAUAAUUCUAAAUUUUACUAAAAUCAUCGUUGAAAAAAUGUGAAACUAAUUUUGCAGUUCUUUCAUUUAUUAACACUGGUAGAUGUGAGUAAAAAACGCAAAUUCUCUUGUAUUUUUAACAUUUUUUUCUAAAAAUUAAUUUAUCUGUCUAUAAGUAAAUAGGCUCAAAGCUUUCUUUAACUUUUUUUUCUCAUUAUUUUAAUGUCUUCCACUUAUUUUUAUAAAAAAAUAAAAUUAAUUUUUGAUUUGACACAAUAUUCGCUCAACGUAUACUAUGCACUAUCACAAUAUAAUAAAACCACGUGAUAAAACUCUAAUAAAUUAUAACACUCGAUUAUGGAAGUUUUACACCUAAAAAAGAAGGACCGGCCAUCAUAAUGGUCGAUACUCGGAAUGACAGAAAACUUGCACUCAUGAAUCGGUCGAGCCUUUCAUGAAAUAAGUUACCGUUAAAUGAUAGUAUCCAGCAGAUCCUCAUUAUGCCUAUAAUCGCGGAACCUCUUAUAUAUUAGCCGGUACCAACUGGAUUUCCAAAAAAUUCACUAACUUCAUUUUCUUAUAGUAUAAAAGCAAAAUAUACAUAGAGUUCAAGAUAUGCAUUCUUAUAUACUCUUCUUAAACUCAAAAAAUCUACUUACACUCGCUCUCUUUGAUAAUUUACUGAUUUGAGUGUCGGAGUGGCUGGCCAUAGGCAUCAACCACUUCACUUUCUUUCUUUUGCAGAUUGACCAAUCCUUUUUAGCUCAUUUUCGGCCGCAUCAUUUGGUUCAAUUGCCGGGAUACCUAUAGAGUUCUUGUUCAUUUGAGAUAAAUUCAACUUAGCUUUCUAUCUAUUUUUUCAGUCAAAGCACUUUCCAUUUCCAUCAUUUUACCCUUAAAAUGGCUGAAAACUUACGAGCUAUUACUAAGUCUGCUGCCAACAGAGGAGCCAACAUCUCCUCCACCCCUAGUAGUGGAUAAAACACUCCUUCCAUAUUCAAUGAGGCAAACCUCAACAAUCUAAAUAAUAAGUAGAUGGUACAAUAUACUAAAAAGCUGCAAACAACUCUCUGAGUAAUAUAAAGUUCGGAAAGAGGCCUCAUUCAUGACUCCCAGAAUAAGGGAGAAAACUUCCUUCGAGACCCCAAAGACUCGAACAGAGACAAUUCAUACUCAGCCCAAAGGAAAGGCCAAACUAGAGCAUGAGGAGUUAUCGGACGAGGCCCCAAAAGAUUUUGACUAGAAGUUGGUUCGUGCUGUACAAAGGUACUAGAAGGAGCAAAAGAAAGAUUAUGGCUUAAAUGACGCUUCACCCCCAUCAGAGAAAAUUCCUGCAGAAACUUUUUCCACUAAGUUCAAGCUGCCCAGUUUGGACAAGUAUGAUAGGACAGUAGAUCCCAGAAGCCAUCUGACAAUCUUUCGGACUAUGAUGUAGCUUUAGGAUAUCAAUAAUUUUGUACUAUGUCGAGUCUUCCCGUCCACCCUCACAGGUUUGGUCGAGAAAUUGUAUCAGCAUCUAAGUCUAGGUUCUAUCCACAGUUUUACAUAACUUGCCAUGUUAUUUAAGUUUAAGUUUUUUACCUGUACACCUCCUAAAAAACUCUCCUUAGACUUAUGAAAGAUCUGACAAGGAGAAGGAGAUUCUUUAAGGAGUUUUAUCUCAUGUUCAAUGCUAAAGCAAUACAGAUAGAAGAAUUGAAUCACAAGAUAGCAUGCGAGGCAUUAAAGAAAGGGAUUCGCAACAUAAAGUUUAUGAAUUCAUUGAUCAAGAAUCCAGCAGCCACUUAUUAGCAGCUAAUGGACAAAGCGUAAAAGUACAUUCGAUUGGAUGAUAAAGUCCAAGCGCAGAGAGAGGAUAAGAGGACAAGUCAAAGCAAAACCUAGAAGCCAGAAAGGCAAGGCCAUGAGAGAGAUUGAAAUAAUUAUCCCAUGUCCCAAGGGAGGGACGACCAAGAUAAGUAUAAGAACUAUACUUCCUUAAAUGACUCACGAACGCAUAUUUUGAUGUGGAUGAAGAAGAAUGACAAAGAGGUCAAAUGGCCCUCUAAGCUCAAUCCUAAUAAAGCCAGCAAGUGAGAUAGGACAAAUGCUACCAAUUCCAUAAAGUUCAUGAAAACAUAACUGAGAAAUGCCGAUAGUUAAAAGACGAAAUUGAGAGAUUGAUAAGGGAUGACACACUUUGAAAGUUUUCCAGAAAAGACAGAGAGGAUAGGAGACUCGAGUCUGAGGUAAGAAUUCUCGAAAAUGCUGUUGAUAGUGACCCUAUUGGGGUUAUACAUGUGAUUACAGGUGGCCCUAAUGAUUGUAAGGGCAAGAACAAGCAUGCCCCUAAGGAUGUCCUAUCUGUAGAGUAAGAACCAUGGACGAAGCAAGAGAUAAAAUUUGGGCCAGUAGAUAGAUGACAAAAUCUUUGCAUAAUGACCCACAAGUCAUAAGCGUUCGAUUUAACUUGUAUGAUGUGAAGCGAGUCUUAGUUGACACAGAUAGUUCCAUAAACAUUCUCACUUUAGAAGUAUUUAACAAAUUAGGUUUAGAUAAAAACAAUCUUGUUAAAGUUUCCUACUCAUUAGUAGGGCUAGAGGACAAAACUGUGGCAUUUCUUGGUACUAUUAAUCUCCCACUUGUGUUGAGGAAUGAGAAGUACAAGUGGGAGCUAUAUGCAGAAUUUGCGAUGGUAGAUAUUUCACUCACCUAUAAUAUAAUACUCAAUCGCUCAGUCUUAAACUGCCACAGGAUAAUAAUUAACAUGGGUGCUUUGUAUUUAAAGUUACUAGUUCGAGGCAGCCAGAAGUCAGCAUAAUAAUGCUACAAGAACUCUACAAAAAGCCUCGGGAAAGUAAUGGUACUGAUUUAUCUCCUGGAAAAACCAGACUCUUAUACGAAGCCAGAAUCAGCAGACUUGGUAGAAGAGAUCCUCUUAGAAGCAGAUAGAAAAGUACGCUUUGAGCGUAGCGCGUGCCACUUGAGCGAACUUAUUCUUCCCUUUGCUAGCCAUACCUGCAAAGAGAAAAAGAUGAGUAAGUAAGGUAGUUUAAAGGGAACAAAAUUUGGAAAGAAAAGAUAUCUUGCUCUUACUCUGUAGUGUAAGGUACGAUUUCCUGAGAGUUUAGGAGAUUAGGUGGUUGAGGGAACCGAGCCUGUUUUGCUUGGUAAUGACUUUGCUAGGAGAAGGUGGCAUUACUCACCGCCAUGUUAAUAUCCACUCUUUUGGUUGAGGCUAUCUUCUAGAGGAAGUCUAAAGCCUUUAUCUUAUCUUUUCGUGCCUGGACCCCAUCCUUUCAAAGCUCCACGUAUAUGUUCCAGUCAGUCCGAAACUUUCCAAAACCCUGGAUACAUUGUGGCGAAGGAUGAAAAACUUAUUUUUCUAACGCUUCAAAGAGGAUGGUAUCCGGUCAAAAAGGGUCUGGCGCUUUUUCCCGCUGAAGAACCAAAAUUCUUUAUUUUUUUGUGUAUCCAGCUAGUACAAUUGAGAGAAGAGUGCAAUGCUUAGCUCGAUAUUAUUAUUGAAGCGGAUAAAGCGAAAAGCCACCAAAAUCCUCCAGCUAUUUGAGUGCAGUUGGGUGACUGAUAGCUUGUAAAAUUAGAGGACUUAAAAAAAAAGGGUCCAUUAGGAACCGAAGACCCGCCUUCAACUGUUCUUUGUAUACCAUGAUGGUACCCUCAGUAGGGAUCUGAUCAUCCACGCGAACGUUCGAAUGGGAAUUGUAGACUUGGAAGAUCUCUCAAGAGAUCUAGUAAUGGUCAUGUAAGCAAUCUACAUCUCUUUCAGUCAGCACAGAUGGGAUAUCAUUUGCUAGGAGGCUGUCAUCAUCAUGGACUGCCCUCAAUAGAACGAUGGGAGUUGGAGCGCAGAUGGGGCCGCCGGAGGAAUAACUCAAGGUUAAACUUCCACUAGAAGAAGACAAUAAAGAAGACAAAGAAGAAGACAAAGAAGUCCUAUUCAUCUUGAAAAAUAUGGAAAAGGAGCAGAAUUAGGAAUUACCUUUAGAAAACGAGAAAGUUAAAAACCGAGUGGUCAAGUCUUUUUAGAGCAAAAGGAAGCAAUAGAGAGCAAAAGUGGUAAUCGCAGGAGAAAGGAGAUUUUAUAUUAUUGUUUUGACGGCUGGUUUAAAUGCGAUUCAAGAAGUAAGGCAAUUAGAAUUUAUGUUCAGAAUAGGUGAAAAAACGUGGGUAUGGAGAGCUAAUUCGUGCAUCCACAUGUCUAAGACCAUAAAAAAAAUUGUAAUCUUUGAAUAUAAAAAGUCGAAGAUCGAUGGAGGGACCUCUGAUAUGACACAAUAUUCACCUAAAGUAUAUCAUGAGCUGUCACCAUAUGGCAGAGUCACAUGACAAGACCCUAAUAAACUAUAACACUCGGUCACGGAAGUCUCACCUAUAAGAAAGGAGGCCCGAACAUCAUAAUGGUCAAUACUCGAAACGACAGAAGGCUCACGCUCUCAUAAACUGGUCGAGUAUUUUAUGACACAAGUUACCGUUAAAUGAUAGUAUACAGCAGAUUCUCAUUACGCCUAUAAUCGCGGGAUCCAUUAUUCACUAGCUGAUACCAAUAAGAUUUUUAGAAGAUUUACUAACUCACUCCAACUUUUUACAGUAUAAAAGUAAAAGAUACACAUAGUUAAAGGUGUGUAUUUUUACACACUCUUCUUAAAUACAAGCAACAUACUUGCGCUCACUCUUUUUGAUAAUUUACUGAUUUGAACGUCAAAAUUGAUACACGUAAACACCAAUUAUCUUUUUUUUUUUUUAUAAAUUGAUCGAUCAUUUUCAGCUUAUUUUCUACUACAUCAAUUUUCUUAAAUAUUUUGGUUCAAAAUAAUUUUGGUUUCAAACAGUUUUAGGUUAAAAAUGAUUAUGGUUAGAAAAAGGAUUACAAAUAAAAGAGUUUGGUUUCGGCUAUGGUUUAGCGUGAAUUUAAACUUUUUAAAACAAUAAUAGUAUUAAUUAUUUAUAUAUCAAAAUACAUAAUUCAUUUAUGUAAAAUGAAUUCAACUAAUACAUUUUUUGAACAAAAGAAAAUUAUAAAUCAAUUUAAUUCCGGACUAAUUUCAAUCUUGGUUCAGGAAAGGGAACCGACCUUUUAAUAAUAUAUAAAUUCAACCUAGUUUAAAAGGUGAUAUGGAAUUCAUUGACCGGUUUAGUUACAAGUUUGACUAGUUCACAUCACUAUUUAAACUAGAUAAUGACCGAACUAGAAGUUUUCUUUAAUAUAUGCACUGCUCAUUAUGAUGCAUUAAAAUUAAAUAAUUCAUAUCAUUAAAUUAUUUUUGAAGCUAAUGAAUUUAUUUUUGAUAAUAAUAUAUAAUUUAUAAUUUUAAAAUUGAAAAUAAUUUAUAAUUUAGGAAUAUUUAGAAGAAAAGGGAAGAGAAAUGUCGUAUGUGGUUACUCAUUUUGAAUAGUACAAGAUUUUAAGAAACGCAAAAGAACAGGGAAAGCCAAUACAACGUCUCUCGUAAACAAGAGGCAGAAAAGCAAGCCACUUGAAUUCCUUAAUAGUUAUCUCCAAUACAGCCAAAGACCUAACUUUUUGCCGCCCUUUGGGUCAAAUACGCUGCAUCAUUCAACUCUUAAAUACCCAUUUCUAGUCUCUAUCAUUUCCUCAUCUUCUUCAACCUUCCCUCUAACCGCCACAUAUUUUUUUUCUUUCUCAAACUACCCAUUGUUAAAAUUGCGCAAAAAUGGAGCUAGAACAGCCCAUACCAAGAGAAGAGAUCCCAGUAGAACUGAGAUCAUCAACCACUGACAGAAUUCAUACAAGAACCAAAUCAGCUACAUUUACAGGUAGCUUUUCCUCUUCAUCUUUCAGUGAUCUCUGCCAUCGAUCUGAAUCGUUUCGAACUCUGGAGAUGGGUGUGCCCAAGAGUAAUUCUUCCGAGAAAAGACUCGGUUGGUUGCGCUCUCAAAUCAUAGGCGAUAAUGUAGAAUUUGAUUCUCCCUUUGGUAAACGAAAACUCACCUACGCUGAUCAUACUGCCUCCGGCCAAUCUCUUCGCUAUAUUGAGAAUUUCAUCAUUAAGAACGUUCUUCCCUUCUAUGGUAUUGAUAUUUCUUUCCUUUUCUUCUUUUUUUUCUUAAGAAGAAUUUCAUUUUAUAUAUAUUUUUCGUUCAUUCGACUUUCUAGACAGUUUCGUAACUAUUAUGGCAAUGUGGUUAUUAAAAAAUGAACAGGGAACACACACACUUGCGAUAGUUACGUGGGGCACAGAACAACAAAAAUGGUUCAAGAGGCAACUAAAUACAUAAAGAAGAGCUUAGGAGGGGGAGAAGAGGAUGCAAUUAUGUUCUGUGGCUCAGGCACCACUGCAGCUAUUAAACGUCUGCAAGAGGUGAUGGGCAUAGCUGUGACGUCUAUUCUGAGGGAUAGGCUAAUUCAAUGCAUUUCAGAUCAAGAAAGAUGGGUUGUGUUUGUUGGACCUUAUGAGCACCACUCCAACCUCCUCUCAUGGCGACAAAGCUUAGCUGAAGUUGUAGAGAUUGGCGUAGAUGACAAUGGCUUGAUACACAUGGAAUCUCUCCAAGAAAAACUUCACUUCUAUAGAAAUGCCAAUCGUCCGAUGUUAGGGUCGUUUUCUGCUUGCAGUAAUGUGACUGGCAUUUAUUCAGAUACUCGAGGAAUUGCUAGGCUUCUUCACCAAUAUGGAGCUUUUGUGUGCUUUGAUUUUGCUGCAAGGUACCCACCUCCAACUUCAUAUUAAUUCUAUAUUAUUUAUUUCUUCUUCUGUUUUUUACAACAUCUAAUAUUUAAUUUAAAAAAAUUUAUAAUUUAAUAUCUAAAUAUUAUCAUUAUUAAAUCAUUUUUUAUAUUUUUAAAAAUCUAUUAAAAUAUUUUUUUUCAUCAACAAAAUAAUUUUUAUAUUAUAUUUUUUUAAAAAAAUAAAUAAAGAAUGAAAAGAGAAAAUUUUUAAAAUUUAAUUUUAUGUUUAAUUAAAAUUAUUUAUUUAGUUUUUAAAUAUUACUAUUAUUAAUAAAAUAAUUUUUAUAUUUUUAAAAAUUUAUUAUAACUUUAUUAAUUUUUUCUCAUAUUUAUUAAAAUAUUUUUAUUAUUUUUAUAUUUAUUAAAAUAUUUUUAUUUUUUUUUCUUUUUAUCCUUAUCCUCUUUAAACAAAAAAAAAGAAAGAAAAAGAAAAAAUGAUGAUGAGAAAGGAGAAGUAAAAGAAAAAAAAGAAAAAAGAAGAGAAAAUGAGAAGAAUAAGACGAUGAAGAAAAGAAGAAGAAGAAUUUCCUCUGCUUCUUCUCUUUUUCUUCUUUAAAAAAUAAAGAAUUAAAAAAAAAUUAAAAAAUAAUUAAAGAAAAAGGAGAUAAAAAGAAAAGAAGGAGAAAGGAAGAAAAAAACAAAAGAAGAGAAGGAAGAGAAGAAAAGGAAUUUAAUUUUUUAUUAUAUUUUUAAUAACACAAAUAAGUGAAAUGAUUAUUUUAUUUACAGAUAAAAAAUAUAAAAAUAUUUUAAUAAAUUUUUAAAAAUAUAUGAAUCGAGUAAAAAUAAUAUUUAAAAAUUAAAAUUAUAAAUCUCACUUUAACUUAAUAAUUAUUAAUUUAGUUUUCAUAUAAAAUAUAAUUUCAUAUGAUUAUUAUUUUAUUAGGGCGGCUUUUUUUUUUUUUUUCCUUUCUGUCUAACUUGGCGGUUGUAUUGAACAUUUUGUUCUUUUGUGAUUGUUAUGCAUGAAGUGGACCCUACGUGAAAAUUGAGAUGAGAUCUGGAGAGAUUGAUGGCUAUGAUGCAAUUUUCCUUAGUCCACAUAAGUUUGUUGGAGGGCCUGGAUCGCCUGGAAUCCUUUUGAUGAGUAAAGCUCUGUAUCAGCUGAGGUCUUCUCCACCAUCUACCUGUGGAGGUGGAACUGUUUCUUACGUCAACGGCUUCAAUGAAAAGGUAUAUCCAUUUAUUUUCAGAAAUUUGAUUAUCCAUUUUUAAAAUUUUCAAAAGUAAAAUAUAUAUAAAAUUGAAUGGUACAUGUCUUUAUAUUAUAUAUAGAAUGUUUUGAUAGUAAGGAAUACAAAAAUUACUGAUGAGAAAUAAAAUAUGCAAUUAAAUUUUGCAGGACACAUUAUAUUAUGAAGAGAUAGAGGAAAGAGAAAAUGGUGGAACUCCUCAAAUAAUCCAAAUAAUUAGAGCAGCACUGGCUUUUUGGGUUAAAGAAUACAUAGGCUAUCAAAUGAUUGACAAACAAGAAACCUAUUACAUAGAAAAGGCAUUAAAGAGGUUGAUGUCCAACAAGAACAUAUGGGUUUUGGGAAACACAAGUGUGAAGAGACAAGCUAUAUUGUCCUUUCUUAUAUUUUCUACCACAAACUCUCCCUCAAGUGAAAUGGAAGAUGGUGAAUUUAGAGAGAGAAAGGAAAGAGAACUUUACAUGUGGGCAGAGACAGGGAACAAGAGAGAUAAGCCUCUUCAUGGAGCUUUUGUUGCAUCUUUGCUUAAUGAUUUGUUUGGCAUUCAAGCUAGAGGUGGGUGUGCUUGUGCUGGUCCUUAUGGUCAUAUUUUGCUCAACAUUAGUGAAACUAGCUCCCUUUCUUUCAGAUCUGCCAUACAAAAGGUAAAUUUUUUACUCUUUCUUCUUACUGAGUCCAGAAAAAAAAGUGGGUUACAGUAAAUUUUGAGUCUUUCUUUCUUAUUCCACAAAAAUGGAAUCAGCUUUUAUUGUUGUGGGCAGGGGGAUCAUGGAGUAAAGCCAGGAUGGACAAGAAUUAGCUUCCCAUACUACAUGUCCAAUGAGGAAUUUGAGUUCAUUCUAGCAGCUCUGGAAUUUAUAGCAAUUUAUGGCCAGCGAUUCCUUGCUUUGUAUAACUUCAAUUUCAAAAGUGGAAGUUGGUCUUUGAAGAAAAAGGCAUUCAAGAACCUAGUGGGAGGAAAACCAAAGAGUAUCGACAUGCCGUUUGCUGGUUCUAAUGAGGGUGAGAUUAUAAUCAAUAAGCACAAAUCGUAUUUGGAAACGGCAAAACGUAUCGCUAAUUUGCUUCCCAAGUUCCCUUCUCAACGUAAGCUUCCAGAAAAUUUAGAUCACGACUUUCUAUAUUUUCGAGUCUAGCCCCUAUGAUUUCUUUGUAUUAUUUAUUUAUCUUUGUUUUACAGAGUACAUUUAUUAUUCAAUUUUGGAAAAAAUAAAUUACAUUUUCAUUUCUCUUGUAAGGUAUAAGGUUAACAAAUAGCAUUUUAUGUCUAAGGUUUUUUCUUUUUUUUCCUUUUAACAAGUUUAAUAGAGAUGUAGAAUCAUAAAUAAAUAAAAAAAAAUUAUUAUAGGAAUUCUGGAUAUUAGUGAAAUUAACUAGUUAAUCCUUAUAAUUUUAUAGCCAAUUAAAAUAUCAUUUAUUAUUCUAAAAUGCAACUAUUUAUUUUUCAAUAAAAAAUUUCACAAGUCAAAUGAUGAAAUAAAAAGUAAAAAGUGAGAUAUUAAUUAUAAAUUUAAAAAAUAAUCCAAAAGAAUAACUCAUUUUUUAUGCUGUAGUCCAUUAAAAUGGAUGAAUGAAAAUAAAAAUCCCAGCAAAUUGAAACCCAUAAAACUAAACUUUUGAGGCAAAAAUAUAUUCAACCACAAAGACAAAAAAUUAUUCAAAUUUAAUGAUCAGACCUAAAAAUUAUGCAUUAAUUAUCAAUACAAACAAUAAUCUAAGAAACUGAAUUUUAGAUUCUAUAAAUAAAUUAAAUACAACUCAAAUCCAUAAACUUCUAUGAAUAUUAGUCCCAUCAAUUGAUUCCAUCAAUAUUGCUCCCAGAAUAUCACCAAUUUGUAAGAUUCUUUUCCCAUGCUGGAAAUAUUUAAAGAAGGAGGAUUUUAUGUUAUUUUCUUUAGAAUCCUAACUGCUUCUGUUUGUUCAAGUCCCCACUGCGAGGUUGCUUUUUGUGCGUACAAAGUUGCUUACUGUGUUUUGAAGCAUGGGAUUCGUCGUGAACAUUCGAUUUAAUUUAAAAUUAAAGUAAACAAAAUAAAUUAAAAAUUAAAAUUUAAUAAUUUAUAAAAUUUAAAUCGAAUUAAUUUUAAAUAAAAAUUAAAUCAAAUUUAAGUAUUUAUAAAAUAAAAAAGUCUAUAAAAUCUAUUUUUAAUAGACUUUUUUUAUUUUUACACUAUACUUUUAAUAUUUUAAAAUUUAAUUGAAAUAUUUUAAUUUUAAUUAUGGUCUAAUAUCUCUAUAUUAUAAAAAAUAAUAUACUAUUAUUACUGAUCGGUUCAAUUCGAUUUUUUCUUAUUAUAAUCGAAUUAAAUUAAAAUAAUUAAAAUUUUUAAAAUUAAAAUUCAAACUAAACUAAAAUUAAUAAAAAAGUUAAAUUAAACUUUUAAAUUAAUUCGAUUCGAUACCUCCACUUCCUUCAAAUAAUUUGAGUUUUUGACAAAAAAUAGUCUUUCACCCUUAUUUGAAAUUAAAAUUUUCAUAAUAAUUCAAUUUUUUUAUCAAAUUUUUUAUUUAGAAUAAAAAAAUUUAUUCUUUUGUAAUUAACUUACAAAGCUUUUAUUUUAAAACAAAUGAAAAUAUUCAAAAUUUUAUUUAAAUUUAUUUAAAUUUUUUUAAAUAAAAUAAUGCGAAAUAGCGAGCUAAAAGACGUGUACAUUAAAAGGAAGAGACCUAAAAAUUAUUUAUCAAAAUGUGGUACUUUUUAAUUGAAUGCAACUUGAAUCGCAUUGGGUUAUUUUUAAUUGGACGCACCCUUCCUUCAACGAUUCAAGUCUUUAUAUGAAAUUAUCGUUGUUAGACAUAAUCUAAUAUAUCUUUAUUAUACCUGUAAUCACAUGAUUCUCUAUCAUUCAAUAAUAUUCUUUAUCAAACAAAUGACUACAUUACUACCGAAUUAUCAGAAUAAUAUUAUAUUUAUCUUUACCUCUUUCAGUAUAAAAAAAAAAAAUCAUAAAGAUAAAAAUACACUAUUUUAAGACAUUAAAAUUUUUAGUAGUCCAUUAUAUUCUCUCUUCUUGAUACUAACUUGAACCUAUCAUUGGAUGAUAUUUUUUAUUAAACAAACGAUCACAUUACCGCCGAAUUAUCAGAAUAAUAUCAUAUUCAUCUCUACCUCUUUCAGUAUAAAAUAAGAAAAAUCAUAAAAACAAAAAUACACUAUUUUAAGACAUUAAAAUUUUUAGUACUCCAUUAUAUUCUCUCUUCUCGAUGUAUCGACUUGAACGUUGAGACAAUCGACUUGAACGUUGAGACAAUCGACUUGAACGUUAGAGUGGUUGCCGUGAACACCCACAACCACCUCACAUUUUCUCUCUUACAGAUUCUAAUUAAAUACAACUCAUUCUCAUUUCGGUCACGUCAUCAAUCUAGUCUCGAAAAUAUUAAUAACUAUAUAAAAAAAAACAUAAAGCUACAACAUUGCUUUAAUUAGUAAUCAUAUUGAAGAAUAUCUCCAAAUUUCCAAAUUCCUAGGUUCCAUAUGCGCCGAUUUUCCAAAUAGUUUUACAUUCUUAAAGAUAAAAGAAAUCCAACAUAAAUUUUGUCUAAUCUGUAAAAUAGAAUUUCAUAUUAGAAGGGAAAAAAGCUAUAUUUGAAUAAAAUUUUGAAAAUAACGUGCACUAAAACGUGGCUAUAAACAUCCCUUACAAUGGCCAUGUUUGGCAACACUGUUUAGCAACAGCAUUUAGUAUUUAAAUUGGAUUAAAAUAUUAAUUUUUAUUAUUUAAUAACUAUAAUUUUAUAAAAAUAUUUAGCGUUAAACCAAUGAAUAUUAAAAACUACUCUAUUUAACAUUUAGUAGUCGACAACACAUAAUUAUAUUUUUUUUUGACACUUAUAAUUUUUUUUUUUUACAUAUUUAUUCAAAUUAUUUAUUAUAAUAUUAUAUUUAACUGGUAAUUUAAUAUUUAUUUUAAACUGAAUAUUUUUAUUUUAAAUUAUUAUAUAAACAGCUAAUCACUAAUCGCUAAUAUUUAAUAAAUAAUAGCUGCAAAAUUGAAACCGUUAAUAUGUAGAGCAGGACCAAUGUCUCGCAGCAUAUUGAAAAAGGGCAAAAGAAAAAAAAGAAUCAAAUAUAAGUGCAGUCAAUCGAUUGACGAAGAAGACUAAUGAGUCUGGCUGCAGGAUUAAUCAAAGAUAGGUGCAGUCAAGCGAUUCACGAAGAAGACUAAUGAGUCUGGCUGCAGGAUUAAUCAAAGAUAGGUGCAGUCAAGUGAAGCUAUUGACGAAGAAGACUAGCCACAGUAGAAGAUGAAUGAAGGCAGGCAAAAUCCCACAGUUGUGUGCUCAAGCGAUAGAGUGAAGAGGAACUCGAGUAAGACGGUACCUUCAGAAAUCUAGGCUAAUUUUAAUUUAAAUUAUUAAAAUAUUAAAUUUAUUUAAAGUUUUAAUUUCAAUUAAAAAUUUUUUAAUUUAAAAUAUUGAAAUUUAGGUCAACUUAAAUUAAAAUUAUUAAAAUUUAAUUUAUAAAGAAUAUUAAAAAUUUUAAUUUAUUAAAUAUUGCAAAAAAAUUUAAUUUAGAAUAUCCUUAAAAUAUAAAUUCAGUUUGUAGAUAUAUUACAUUAAAAAUAUUUAAUUUUUAUUUUUAAUUUUUAAUUUAAUCUAGCAACACCCCAAAAUAUUUAUAUAGAUAUUUACACUCCAUUUUUUUUUCUUUUUUAUAUUUUUUAGCAUUUCAAGAAUUUACGAAAAAUAUAAUAAAAAAAGUAAAUCAUUUUUCACACAUUAAAAUUUAUAUAUAUAAAUUUAUUAAUAAAUUUUAUUUUUUAAAUUAUAAUUAAAUAAUAAAAAAUAAGUCAUUGAAAAAUAUUUUUCAUAAAAAAUAUUUUUUUAAAGAAAUAUUUUAAAAAAAAAAAUACUUUUCAAAGAAAAUAUUUUCUACGACUUUUCAAAGAAAAUAUUUUCUAAAAAUAUACUUUUCAAAGAAUAAAAACAAUUUAAAGAUGAUAAUCAUUUAAAUCGGAAAGGCACUUUGAAGUUGACAAAGAAAAAUAUUUAAUUUUUAUUUUUAAUUUUUAAUUUAAUCUAGGAACACCCCAAAAUAUUUAUAUAGAUAUUUAGGCUCCAUUUUUUUUCUCGUUUUAUAUUUUUAGCAUUUCAAAAGUUCACGGAAAAUAUCGUCAAAAAAAAGUUAUUUUCCACAUAUUAAUAUAUUUAUUAAAAUUUUUAUAUAUAAAUUUAUUAAUAAAUUUUAUUUUUUAAAUUAAAAUUAAAUAAUAAAAAAUAAAUUAUUUCAUUAAAAAAUAUUUUUCACGAAAAAUACUUUUCAAAAAAAAUAUUUUUUACAGAAAUACUUUUCAACGAAAAUAUUUUUCAUAAAAAAUACUUUUCAAAGAAUAAAAACAAUUUAAAGUUGGAGAGGCAUAUUAAGUUGACAAAGACUCAAAUACAUUGAAUCCACGAAGAUCGGAGAAUGAGAAUUGAUGGAGAAGAGGGGUAGAGCAAUGAUUGAGACAGAUAGGGAGACCCCAGACUAUUGAUGGAGAAUAAAACACCGUUUUAGAGUUAGGAUAAUUAAUUUCGAUAGAAAUGCUAGUUUAAUUUUGGGUCCCAGUUAAAACAAAAAAAAAAAAAAUUGAUAGAANNNNNNNNNNNNNNNNNNNAUACAAAGAAUAUAAAUAAAAAAAAAAACAACAGAUUGGUCCUAUUUUCAAGACCACAUAAUCGAUUAAUAUGAGAUUUUAUUGCCGUGAUAUACUAAUUGUUAAUUGAUUAAGCAAAUAAGAAAUAAAAUAAUAACAGUAAAAUAUUAUGCAGUAGAACUAGUCAACAGUAACGGAACUAGUCAAUAUACUUCCUAUUCUUGAUAAUAUUUCGCGACGAUCGUCGCAAUGAUCUAUUAUUACCUCCCCAUCGGAAGGAACCUUGUCCUCAAGGUUCAAAUUGGAAAAUCGAGCUUUUAAAUUUGCAGUAGACUCCCAAGUAGCAUCCUCAAGCGAAAAAUGCUUCCAACAAACUAGACUUUCCUCCGUAAUGCGAUUGCCCGAUCGAAUCCAGCGAGUAUCCAAAAUUUCCUCAGGCUCAAAAACAGCAUACCCAUCAUCAUUCAACUGAGGCAAAGCAGUGGAGACUGGAACAGAUUCUCCAACAUGUUGUUUAAGAAGAGAAACAUGAAAAACCGGAUGAACUCUGGAACCAAGAGGGAGCUGUAACUUAUAAGCUAAGUUGCCGAUUUUUUCUUCCACCCGAAAGGGACCAUAGAAACGGCUAGCCAAUUUCUGGAAGGCCCUCUUGGAAAUAGAUUGCUGGCGAUAGGGCUGCAAUUUAAGAUAAACAUAGUCACCUGGACUGAAUUGAACAUCCUUGCGUUUAAUGUCAGCAGCCUGUUUCAUUUGAUUAGCAGCUCUGGAUAGGUGAAUUUUUAAAUCAUGUAAAAUUUCAUCUCUAGUAGCCAAAUUGAGAUCCACCUCAUGAACCAGCGAAUGCCCCAACUCAUAACGAGAAAUCAUAGGCGGAUUCCUGCCAUACAAAGCCAGGAAAGGAGUCAUCCCAAUAGAAAUAUGAAAGGAGGUAUUAUACCAGUAUUCAGCCCACGAUAAGAAAGAACUCCACCGGCGCGGUUGUUGACUAGCAAAACAACGCAGAUACUGCUCCAAACUUCUGUUAGUAACCUCAGAUUGACCAUCCGAUUGAGGAUGAUAGGAUGAACUCAUAUGCAGCUUAGUACCAGAGAGCUUGAAGAAUUCCUGCCAAAAAUUACUCAUAAAAAUUGGAUCCCGAUCACUAACAAUGGAUCGAGACAGACCAUGAUAUUUCACUACACCAUCCAGAAAUUUCUCUGCAACGAUUUUUGCCGAAUAUGGGUGAGCCAACGCCAAGAAGUGGGCAUACUUACUUAACUUGUCGAUGACAACCAGAAUUGAAGUCUUUCCAUUCGAAGAAGUCAGACCAUCGAUGAAGUCCAUUGCAAUAUCAUCCCAAACCUGAUGAGGAAUCGGCAGGGGCUGAAGAAGUCCAGUUGGCUUUGUAGUUGCAGCCUUAUUUUUUUGACAAACAGAACAUGCAGCAAUAUAGUCUUGGAUGUAGGAUCGCAUAGAAGGCCAAUAAAACUGUUGGGCAAUUCUCUUAAAGGUGCGCAAAAUGCCAGAAUGGCCACCACAUGGGGAGUCAUGGAAUUCCUGCAAAAGCUUACUGGGCAAGUCAAAGUGAGGAGGAACCACUAUCCUAUUCUUAUAGAAAAGUAACCCAUUCUUCCAUGAAUAUGGAUGACCCAGGUUGGUAGAAGCCAACCGACUGACAUUAAUCAUGUAAGAAUCAGAAGCAAGAUGGGAUUUAAUUUGGUCCCAAAGAGAGGUAUGAGGAAGAUACAGGGAAUUGAGAGAUGGACUUCCAGAGAUAUGGGACAAGGCAUCAGUGACCUUAUUCUCUUUUCCUGGCUUGUAAAUGAUUUCAUAAUCAUAACCCAACAGCUUUGACACCCAAUUCUACUGUUCAUGAGUAACCACUCGCUGUUCCACCAUGUAUUUGAGGCUGCGCUGGUCAGUCUGAAUAAAAAACUUGCGACCCAAUAAAUAAGGACGCCAGGUACAGAUAGCUAGCAUCUCCCUUGCAUAAGUAGACCAGGCUUGUUUUGAAACUCCUAAGGCACGACUUAUAAAUGCAAUGGGACGAUCAUGCUGAGAAAGAACUGCUCCAAUACCAGUCUUCGAAGCAUCAGUGGUGAUGAUAGAUGGAUCAUUAAAAUUGGGCAGCGCCAAAGUUGGAGUAGAAGUCAUCACCUUUUUCAAGGACAAGAAAGAUGAAUCUGCUUCUAGUGUCCAAAAGAAAUUGCCCUUCUUUAGUAAGUUUGUUAAUGGCUGAGCUAGAUGCCAUAAUUACAAACAAACUUCCUGUAGUAUCCUGUAAGACCCAAAAACCCACGUAAGUCAGUAAGAUUGGUGGGCUUAGGCCAGUCAAGAAUGGCUUUGAUCUUGGAUUGAUCCACUUGCAUCCCCUCCGAAGAGAUAAUAUGCCCUAAGUAUUCAAUUUGCCGCUGGCCAAAGGCACAUUUACUGAGCUUUAUAAAAAAUUGAGGCUGCCGCAGUAAUUCAAAAGCCAUUCGUAUGUGUUCCAUAUGCUGCUUCCAAUUGGGGCUAUAGAUAAGAACAUCGUCAAAGAAGACUAGUACGAACUUUCGUAAGUAAGGUUGAAACAGAGUGUUCAUUAGCGCCUGAAAGGUAGAAGGAGCAUUGCACAGCCCAAAGGGCAUCACUAGAUAUUCAUAAUGGCCGUUGUGUGUUCUAAAAAUCAUUUUAUGAAUAUCAGCUUGGUGAACACGGACUUAGUGAAACCCUGCAAUAAAAUCCAGUUUAGUGAAAUAAGUGGCACCAUAAAGCUCAUCAAGCAUAUCGUCCACAGUUGGAAUAGGAAAUCGAUCCCGAACAGUAACCGCGUUAAGAGCCCUGUAAUCUGUACAAAAUCUCCAGGAGCCGUCCUUCUUCUUAACUAGCAAAACAGGAGAAGAAAAAGGACUUGUGCUAGCCCUGAUAAGUCCUGAUUUCAACAUAUCCUGGACCUGCUUUUUGAUUUCAGCCUUCUGGAAGUAGGCAUAUCUAUAAGGCCGAACAUUAACCGGAUCUGUACCUUCUUUAAGAUUGAUGCGAUGAUUGAUCUCUCUCUCUGGAGGAAGUUGGCUUGGUUUCUGAUAGAUGUCAGAAAACUAAUGUAAUAAGAGCUGCAUAUCUGGAUGUAAGUCGUCGAACAAUGCAGGUGAAGAAGAUUCCACAUAGAUUGCAAAAACAGAACUGUUAUGUCGCAAUUCUUUGGACAUUGCUUUCAAUGAGUGGUUCAAUCUUCUGAGAUGUUUCCAAUUGCAAGAAACAGUUCCCAAUUGCUGCAACCAUUGAAUUUCUAAAACCACAUCCAAACCCAUUAUGGGCAAAAAAAAGAAUGUAGCGACAAAGGGUAUACCUUGGUGAGUAAAAGGAACGCCUUUGAAUUUCCCAUUGCAGAUUAAGGGACUGCCAUUGGCAACCUUAACAUUGAAGGGCUUAGUUGGGUUCACUGGUAGCUUGAGUAAUCCAACAAUCUUCUCAUUGAUAAAAUUAUGAGUUGAGCCACUGUCAAUGAGAACAAUCAGUUCGAUGGAGUUAAUGUGGAUUGCGAUUCUCAUGGUACUUGUGGAAGACCACCCAGUAAGGGCAUGUAAUGAAAUUUUCGGUUCUACCUCCUCAUCGUCGUCAUCAAAAUUACAGCCACCAUCGAGUAGAAGCAGUUGAGGUUUAGAACAACUGUGCCCUGGCACAAACUUUUCAUCGCAGUUAAAGCAUAAACCAUCAGCUCGCCUUUUUUGCAUCUCGUCCCAGGUGAGCCUCUUUACUAGUGUCGUCGGUUUGCUCUUAACUGGAGAAGAAGAGCUCAACUGAUAAGAUGGGCGAGUUGCCUUUCGUUGUCGAAGCAACUGCUCAUCUCUCAUUCGAGCGUAAUUAAUUGCUUCCUUGAGCGUUGUAGGUUUGAACAUUCUGAUUCCAUCUGAAAUCUCUGUUUUGAGGCCGCCCAUAAAAGUCCCCACCAGCACCUUUUGCGUCCAUCCUUUCACCUUAUUGCCUAGGCUUCAAAUUUCCGCUGGUAUUCUCUCAGAGGCCCAGUUUGUCGAAUUUUAGAAAGGGACUCGUCGAAAUCCUCGGAUUCAGUUGGUCCAAAACGGGACCAUAUUUCCUCGACAAAAGUUUCCCAGGUAAUCUCCUUGCUCUCUUCUCGAUAUGUACAUUGCAUCCACCUCCACCACUGGCUAGCUUCUCCUUGGAGAUGAUAAGAAGCCAAAUAGACCUUUUCAGUAGGAUAUGUUUUCUGAUAAUCGAAAAAAUGUUCCACCUUAGCCAUCCAUUCGGUUGGAUCGUCGCCUGAGAAUUGAGGGAAUUCAAUUUUGGCGAGUUUGGAAGCGAAGAUGGGCCUUCCUCCCUCUCUCGAUUCCUCUCUGUUAGAGCGACUCUGGCUAUUGCCACCAAUGCUGCUGGCCCCUUCUUUAGUGGGAAGAGUCGUCUCAGAAAACUUUGAGAUGGCUGCUUCAAUCUGUUGCAAUUUUUCGUUGAGUCCUUAGCCCAUGUUGCUGACUGAAUUUUGGAGUUGCCCGACAGCAGCUUCCAAAUUUUCAAUUCGUUCCUUAUUAGUUGCCAUCGAAAAGAAAUAGAGAAGAAAAAGAUAUAUAACUCGGCUCUUAUACAAAUGUUAGGUCCCAGUCAAAGCCAAAAAAAAAAAAAAAAAGAAUUGAUAGAAAAAAUAGGAAGUUCUGGUGUUUUUUUUCCUUUUCUUUUCUUUUCUUUUUUUUCCCCUUUUCUGCUGCAAGUACAAAGAAUAUAAAUAGAAGAAUAAGCAACAGCUUGGUCCUAUUCUCAAGGCCACAUAACCGGCUAACAUGAGAUUUUAUUGCCAUGAUAUACUAAUUGCUAAUUGACUAAGCAAAUAAGAAUAAAAUAAUAACAGCAAAAUAUUAUGCAGCAGAACGAGUCAACAGUAGCAGAACUAGUCAAUAUACUUCCUAUUCUUGAUAAUAUUUCUGGACGAUUGUCGCAAUUAUCUAUCAUUUAAUCCCAAACUAAUUAGGAGAGAUGCUAGUUUAUCCAUAGAUGCUUGAUACACAAUUCGUCUAUAGGUAGAGCACUAAAAGUUGUGUUUUAAAGUUUAACUUGUAUUUCAUAUAGAGUUAUACAUGCAGAAAUAAAGAUAAAAUAAAAAUAACUGAAUAACUGAAUAUAGAAAGUCUAAAUAAGAAAAUGGACAUAUCUUAAAAUAAAACAUACAGUGGAAGAAACAAGUCAAAAUCAAGUCAUUUAUGGGAGGUGUUUAUGAAUUUUCCGACAUGCUAGCUUGAGUUGCUUAUUAAAUCCGAUGUGCUUAUCUAAAUGAAAUAGACUUCUAAAGGUUUAAAGUUUAAUUUUAGUAGGUCCAUCUAUAAAUAUUAAAAGUUUAAAAACUAAAUUGAAAGAUGGAUAAAAAGUUUAGUAGGUUGAAGUGUGAAUAUGAAAAGUUUAAAAGUAAAUUUCAAGUUUGAUCCUCCAUUUUUCGACAUCUUCACCUAAAUCCUCCAUGUAUCACCUAACUAUGCAUGAAAGAAAUGACAAAACAUGAAACAAAAGGUGGUCUUUAUCUUCCUUCAUGUUGGCCGAAGAUGCACAAAAAAAAAAGACAAAUUGAUUUUUCUUCUUUUCUUCCAUUUCUAUCUAAUUUCUCCAUAAAAAUAAGAGUUUCAUCCAUGCAAACAUCUUUCUAAGUGAAAUAAUCAGCAAAAGAACCAUAGAAGAGAAGGAAGGAAAGAGAUGAGUUUAGGUAUUAAGUGGUAAGUAAUAGAAAUUGAAAAUUAGGUUGGACUAACAUGUCAUUCCAUACUUUCAAUCAAUUUUAUAGUGCUAAAUAAAUUAAAAAUCUUAUUUUACUUGUUCUUUGUAAAGAAAAAAUUUGAAAGGAAGAAGGUACAUCAAUGGAAAAAGGCAAGGAAAGAGAGUAACUAAGGCGUACAUAAAGCUUUUGAAAGGAAUUGUGCAAACGGCUUGGUGUUUGUAUGAAUUUCUAUUUUCUUUUGAUUUUUUCAUGAAUAUGUAAAAUUAGGAAUUGAUUUUGACUGCUGGAAAUGUUACUUUGAUUGUAUAAAUGUGUAAUAUGAAUUUUGGAAUUAUGUUUGGAAGGCUUAAAGCAAAGAAAUUUAACAUGGAAGUUAAAUGUGCAAAACUGGCAGAAUAUAUUUUAAAAGGGUAGCCUGUGUUGACAACUUCAUAACUCAUUGUAUAACUGUUGAAAUUGGACCUAAUAUAUACAAAAAAAAAAAUUGAGAUAAAGAGAUAAAAUUUUCAUGAAGUAACCAAAUUAUGAAGCUAUAGCUAAGUGUAUGCAAAUUGCAAGUGAACAUAAACUGCACACAGAGAUAGUUCAUCCGGAACAAUCUAUAUUCCUUAUAUCAUAACUAAUUCUGUACUCAAUGAAAUAAGUUAAGACUAGUAUCAAAUGAACCUUGAGAUGUAUAUUUAAAACUUUUUAAAAGAUAUUUAACCUUGAAUCUGAAUAAAAAUGUAUGUAUUAGAUAUAUUUUGUUAGACUAGAAACAAGUACCAAUACUGGACUGGUUAAAACUUAGUGGACAGCUUGUAAAUAAAAAUUCAUAAUUUGAGUUAGGAAUGUCAGAUUUAGAUGUGACAUAUCUUGUUAGAAAUUUAUGACACAAAUGCACAAUAUUCAUAUAUUAAUCUUAAUCAAAUUCUAUCCCUAAGGCACUUAAAAUUGUGAUACAUAAUCAGACAGAAAGAAACCUAAAUUUGAAUAUUGACCUAAAAGGGAUUGACAUGCUCACUUUACGCCCAAAUGACACAUGUGCUAGCUUGACGUGCCUGAUUUGUGCCCAUGCUAACUUAAUAAACUAAAAUUUAUAUAUAUUUUCUUAAUGAAUUAGCACUACACUCAUAACUGAAUAUGGUCCAUUACAUACACAUGUAUGCUUUAAGAACUUAUUUUAUUGACAUACUUGCUUAUGAACUUAUAAUUUGACAUACUUGCUUAUUUGAAUAUGUUAAGCAUCUAAAUUGAUAAUUUUGGUUCAAAUGAAUAUUUAACAUAUAUAUAUAUAUAUAUAUAUAUACUCUUGACCCUAGUAAACCUUAGUAGGAGUUGUAGCAAAAUAAGGGUGUGGCUUGCCAUAUAUAGUUUAACAAUACUGCACCCUAAUGGACUACAUGAUAUAAUAUUUUCGACACAUCAUGUGUCAUAGAGUUUCUCGGCUUUGGAGUUAUACAGGCACAGCAUUCGGCCCCUAGGCCAUAUAGUUUGGCACUUUAUGCUAUAUAGAUACAGUUUUCUCUUACCUAACUAGUCGAUCAUGCUAAGAGUUUAUAUGAGCUAAGAUAUAAUUACACAACUUGUUAAUACUUUACAAGUAUGCAUACAGGAUGGUUACCAUAAUAUGGAUGACCUUACAUAUGUACAACUGCAUGACUUAAUUUGCUCACUUUUCACCUAUAGACACAAAAGUUUUCUACAUGUUUCUAUGAAAUGAUUUUGUUAUAAUUGUUGUGUGAAUUCUUAUUUAUAUCUUAUAUGAAUAUAUUAUUAUUCACCCAUUGGGCAUAAGCUCAGCGCAUUAGACUUUUCCCUUACGCAGGUAGUAGACAGAGAAAGUGAAAAAUAAGAGGUCUGGUUCUGCAUUAGUACAAAGAAUCUCAAAAUUUAUUUAGAGGUUGUUUAUGUUUGACAUGUAUAUUUAUAAAGGAGUUUUGAUAAUAAUAAAAAUGUAAAUCAAUAUGUUUAGUACUUUUUGUUAAUAUGUUCUGUCUAUGGGUUUAAUUGUGUGAAUUGAGUAAAUAUUGAGAAUUUAUAGCUUUUUUGUACACGAUAAUUGCUGAUAAACAGGGGAGAUUCUUGCAGUUUUUCCAUUUAAAACUGUUAUUAUGAAUUAAUAUAUAUUUAAACAAAUUGAAUAAUAACUAAUAAUGUAGAAGCUAAUUUACGUCCACAUGUAUAAUUGUACUUAGUAUAGCACGUGACAUCCUUUACACAGCUAUCCUUAUAGAUGGAUAAGAGGUGUUACAUUUAUUGGUAUCAUAGCAGAGGUUUAGGCGGUUUUAGGAUAUAAUAUGAUGCAUACCUAGUUUGUCUUUAAUUGUUUAAAGGAUAUCUAAGGGAUCAUGACGUUCUAUAGAUGAGGAGGUGGGAAGUCAUGCCCCCUUAAAACCUAUUGAGCCAGCAGUUGCACCAACUUCUCCUAGUGAAGGUAGGCUAGGACAGGAUGCAUUCUUACAGUAGCUAGCAUAUAUGUUUAGAUGAGUUUCAGGGGCAGCGCCUCCGGUGCCACCACUAGUAGUAGUAUUAAUGCAGGCUCCUAAUAGAUCACCAAUAGAUAAGCUUAUAAAAUAUAGAGCUAUUAAAUUCAAAGGCAGAAGGGAAUAUAAUGCUUCAAUAGUAGAGUACUGGCUUAAAAGUACUGAGAGAGUAUUGCAGUAACUCCAAUGCACACCACCAAAUAGUAUAGCUUGUGUCAUUGCUUUGUUAUAAGAGGAAGCCUAUCAGUGAUGGGACACCACAUCACAAACAAUGCAAUAUGAGCAAUGGACUUGGAAAUUCUUUUUGGAUGAGUUUAGAAAGAAGUAUAUUGGGGAUUUAUAUAUGGAUGAAAAGAGAGAAGAGUUUUUGUAUUUGAGACAAGGCAAGAUGACAAUCAGUAAGUAUGAAAAAGAUUUCAUCAAACCGAGUAAGUAUGCUUGAGAAAUUAUGCUUAUAGAGGAAGCUAGAUAUAAGAAAUUUGAGCAGGGUCUACAUAGUGAUAUUAGGGUGCUUUUAGCAGCCCAUCCUAUUAUAGAGUUCUCUACUCUGGUAAAUGCAAAACUGAAUAUGGAAAAGAUAAAAGAAUAAGAACAGAUGUGGAGACAGAAAGGACAUCAGAAGAGAGGGUAAACCCAAACACAGGGGCAAUCCUCAGCCUUUUAGGCACCUACUAAGAGACGGAAGGGUGCCCACCCAUCAGGGCAGAGUCAGAUAUAAAGACAAAGACAAGGACCAACGCCAGAGUUCUGCAGGUAGAUUUAGGUAGCAAACUAGUAUUUCUAUAGCCAGUUCAGAAGGGGUUGGAAGAAGAUAAUACCCAAUAUGUGAGCACUAUGGUAGAAGACAUUUGGGACCCUGCAAAAAACUAACAGGGGCUUGCUUCAGGUGUUGAUUCAUUGAGCAUCUUAUGAGAGACUAUCCUAGGGGACAAGUAUCAUCAGCACUACCUGUAGAGAGGCCUGUUCCUACUGGACCUAGAGGAAGAUGAAGGGUUAGAGGUAAUUAGAUUGGGGCAACUUCAGCUAAUCAAAUGGUUUCUGAAACAGUAGAUAUAUCAAACUUCAAAACACCUGCUAGAGCCUAUACCAUUAAGGCUAAGGAAGACAGGGACCUCCCAGAUGUGAUAGUUGAUAUAUUCUUAAUCUUUGAUAAACCUAUGCAUACAUUGAUAGACUCAGGAUCUACACAUUCAUAUAUAUGUAUGCCUAUUACUAGUGAGGGGAAAUUACAUGCAAAUUUUCUAAACCAAGAUAUAAUUGUAACCAACUCCUUUAGGCAUAGUAUGAUAGUGAGUAAAGUAUAUAGAGAUUGUCCUAUAUCCAUCCACAGUCAUACUUUCUAUAGUUAUUUGAUAGAGUUAUCUUUUAGAGAGUUUGAUGUAAUCCUGGGCGUGGACUGAUUAUCUUGGCAUCGGGUAAUAGUAGAUUGCAUAUAAAAAAGAAUUAUAUUAAAAACACUUGAAGAUGAUGAUGUAGUUAUUGUAGGAGAGAGGUCAGGUUGCUUGUUUGAUGUUAUAUUGACCGCUAGAGCUAGGGGAUUAAUUAGCAAGGGUUGUUAAGCCUACCUAGUCUUUGCACUUGAAACUAAAAAGGAGAAUCCAGGUGUGCAUGACAUAGCCACAAUGUGUAAUUUCCCUUAUGUUUUUCUCGAUGAUCUUCCCGAGUUACCACCAAAGAGAGAGAUGGAGUUUGCUAUAGAUAUUGUACCAAGCAUUGCACUUAUCUCUAUUGUUCCUUAUAAGAUGUCACCUAUAUAACUGAAAGAGUUAAAAAUACAAUUGUAAGAAUUGCUUGACAAGGGUUUUAUACGACUUAGUAACUCACCUUGGAGCACACCUGUAUUAUUUGUGAAAAAUAAGGACGGGACCCUAAGACUUUAUAUAGAUUAUAGGCAACUAAAAAGAUGACAUAUAAGAAUAAAUACCCUUUGCCCUGAAUAGAUGACUUAUUUAAUCAACUGAAGGGAGCAAGUGUUUUUUCUAAAAUUGAUAUACGAUCGUGUUAUCAUCAAUUGAAGAUAAAAGAAACAGAUGUCUCUAAAACUAUUUUUAGAAUGCGAUAUGGACACUAUGAAUUUCUAGUUAUGCCUUUUGGGCUAACUAAUACUCCUGCAGCUUUCAUGGAUCCGAUGAACCACAUCUUCCAUUCUUACCUAGAUAAGCUUAUAGUAGCUUUCAUAAAUGAUAUCUUGAUAUACUUAAAGACUUAGGAAGAUCGUGAUCAACAUUUGAGGAUAGUGCUACAAACUUUGAGAGAGAAACAACUUUAUGCUAAGCUUAGUAAAUGUGAGUUUUAGCUAAAUAAUGAUAUAUCCUUUCUUGGGCACAUUUUAUCUGCUGAAGGAAUUAGAGUAGACCUUAAAAAGAUAGAAACUAUCCUUGAAUAGAAACCAUCUAAGAAUAUAGCCGAGAUUAGGAGUUUUUCUGGGUUUGGCUAGAUACUAUAGGCAGUUUGUAAAUAGAUUUUCAAUCAUUGCUACCCCAUUGACUAAAUUAUUGCACAAUAAUGUUAAGUAUGACUGGGAUAACAAAUAACAAAAGAGUUUUGAGAAGGUUAAAAAAAUGCUUACAGAGGCACGUGUCCUUACACAACUAGAAUUAGGUAAAGGUUUUAUGAUUUACAGUGAUACCUCACAUAAUGAGCUUGGUUGUGUAUUCAUGCAAGAGGGAAAUGUAGUUGCUUAUGCUUCAAGAAAAUUAAAGUCACAUAAAAAGAACUACUCUACCCAUGAUUUAGAUUUAGCGGCCAUAGUCUUUGCAUUAAAAAUAUGAAGGCAUUACCUGUAUGGUGAGAAAUGUUAUAUCUAUACAGAUCAUAAAAGUUUAAAAUAUUUACCCACAUAAAAGAAGCUUAACUUGAGAUAUAAAAGGUGGUUAGAGUUGCUUAAGGAUUAUGACUGUAUUAUUGAUUAUCAUCCAGACAAUGUCAAUCUGAUAGCAAAUGCACUUAAUGAGAAAUAUAUAGUUGUUUUAAAAGCUAAUGCUCACCUAUCUUUAACUAAUGAUGGGGCUAUCAUAGCAAAACUGAAACUUAAACCCAAUAUACUUCAACAAGUCUAGGAGGCAUAGAAAGGAGAUAUAGAAAUAGUUUUGUGGAUAAGGCAAGUCCAAUAGAUGCAUUACUUUUGCAGAUAUGAUACUUUUUGUUUUGAAAAUGGUUUCUUUUUUUUUUUUGUAGUUAAUAUCAUAUGGAUAUGGUGAUUUUGUACUGUGUUAUAAUGUCGAUUAUGUAUUCAAUGAAUAUAUUAUAGUUUUUUGCAUAUUUCUGGUCAGUUUUUUUUUUUCAAAUUUAUUGUGUGACUCAACAAUUAUGCUAAUUCAACUACUCAACCAUAUUUUAUUCAGACAUCUCUACCAACUCAAUAUCUCAGCAUACUCAAUUUCAGUAAACACAAUCUCAAUAUAUCAUUAAAAAAAUCUCAAUAAACUCAAUUUUCAUUACAUAGAUCAAUAAAUUGUCAAUAAACUAAAUUUGUUAAAAGUAAACACAAAUUGUCUCUGAAGCUCUUAGUAUAAUUCCUUACCCCUACUAUUGUUUUACUUUGCUAAAAUUAAACAUUACAAAGAUCAAUAUGCAUAAUACAAUUGCAACACCCAUCUUCACUCUCCUAUCAAAUGCUUCCCUAGCACAUUUUUCAUAUUGCAAUUUUAUGUAUUCUUUGAAACAACAACAUUCUCUCUUCUUUCAAUUGAUUUAUUUUUUUCUUUCUUCAUGAGCUUCUCUUUUGGGUUUUUAAUUUGGUUUUGUAGAGAAAACUCAUUCUUAUCCUUAUAUACAACAACACCUUCCAAAGUGUCAAUCUUGUCAUAAAGUACAUUAAAUACAGUUCUCUCCCUAAAACCAUGGCUAAUCUCAUUAUCUAACCAAUAGAAAAGGUUGCAAUUGUUAACUUGAAACACACUUCAACAGGUAGCAAUCAAUAACGACAAUUACAGUAACCUUACAAAUGGCAUUAGAGUCAAAUUAAUAAAGAACAAAACAACUUCCAACCACUCACAAUCUAUCAACUCUCUAUACUCUCAUUUUAUGGCAUCAAUAUGGAUUCACAGAUUCAAUCCCAACAAACUAGUUCCACUCGCUCCAAUUGGUUAUUAAACCCACUAAAAUAUAACAUGUCGAGCUUCAUAAUUGAUAUCAAUGGGCGACUAUUAAAAAAAAAAAAAAUCAUUCCAUUACCUUUCUUAAAGAACAACACUAAAAUCUUCUCUCUAUAUCCUUCCUAUAUAUGAUGUUAAAACUUGGGCAUUCAGCGGGUGAAAGAGACAGUGUACUUAGGGGUGAGCAGUAUUUGGUUCAAACCGAAAAAACCGACCGAACUGAAUUAAUUUAAAAAUUUAUUUCGAUUUUUUAUCUAAUUCGGUUCGGUUCGGUUUUUAAUUUCAGAAAUUUUUGUUAUUUCAAUUCGGUUCAAUUUGAUUUUGAUAAAAAAAAUAAAAUAAAUCGAACCGCACCGAUUAAUGAUAAUAAUAUGUUAUUUUCAAUAAUAUAGAGAAAUUAAAUCAUAUUAAGAUUAAAAUAUUUUAAUUAAAUUUUAAAAUACUAAAAAUAAAGUGUAAAAAAUAAAAAUUUAUGAAAAAUCGAAACCAAUCAAAUCAAACCGAAUCAAACCGGUUCGAUUCGAUUUGAUUUCUGACCAAAAUUGGUUCAGUUUGAUUUUUUUAAAUACUAAAAUUUUAAUUUUUAAUUUAUUUAAUUCAGUUCGAUUUUAAAUCGAACUGACUGAAUACUCAUCCUAAAUGUACUCGACCACCACUGCUUACUAUUGAGGAAGAGUCCUCCAUUGACAAAUCGAGAAGUCCAAACUGAUAACUUGAAUGCUGUUUGCAAAUAUUGGUGAUUCAUAUAAACCACAAAUUUCAAAUGAGAGAUAAGACACCUUCUCUUUGAGAGAUUUUAAACAUUUAAGUUUUAACUAUAGUCAACUCUCCUUUUAUUUUUUAUUUUUUAUUUUUUAUUUUUUUCUGAAGUGAAAUUUUGAGUUAAUGAUAAAAAAAUUUAUAUUUUUGAUUUUACUAAAUUAUAUUUUAUACUUUUUUCAAUUAAAAUUUAAUUUUUUAAAAUUUAAUUGUACCAUGCUGUUAUUAAUACCGUUAAAAAACUAACGGAAUUACUAUACCACUUGCCAUUAAUACCGUUAAAAAACUAACGGAAUUACUAUACCACUUGCCACAUCAACGCUUUAUCACUAUGCUAUAUCAGUAAAAUUAAUUGUAAAAAAAUUAUAUACUUUAUUUUUGUUAAAAUUUCACCCUAAUUAAAUUCUAUAACUUCUAAUGUCUAACUAAAUAAAUCCUACCAUUACUUAUAUAGUUAAAGACUUAAAUUAUCAAAUUACUUUUUUCAUUAUUAAAUAUAUUUAAAAAUUAUUAUUAUUAUUAUUCUGUCUAAUAUGCUUAUUAUUUAGCAUUACUUUUAAAACUAUCAUUAAAAAAAUAACCUUAUUAAAUAUAUUAGUUAUGAAACAUUAAAAAAUAAUUUAAAAUAAUAUUUAAUAUAAUUUAGUUUAAAAAUAUUAAAAUAAUAAAAUAAUUUUUUAUAAUUUUUUUAAAAAUUAUUCUUUUAACUCUUAAAUAUAAUAUUAAUCAGCCACUUUUUUUUAAAAUAUAUUAAUAUUUACAGUAAAUUUUAAAAAAAUUAAUAAAAUAAAUAAUUAUUAAAAAAACUAUAUAUUAUAAUUACAUCCUAAAUUUUUAAAUUAUCAUUAAUUUUAUUUUAUUUUAAAAUUUACCGACAAGACAUACUGAUAUAACAUUGACAUAGCAAGUAACUUAACAAUUCCUAAUUACAACAAAAUUAAAAGUUUAAACUAUUAAUUCUGAAAUUUUUUAUUUAAAAAAACUAUACUUAAAUUUAAAUUCCAUGUAUCUCUAAGAUUUUGAAAAUGGUCAAAAUUAAUUUGAGCAACAACAGAUUAUAAAGUUUAGGUACAAUGUAUAAGAUUAAAAGUAGAUAUAAUCAAGAAUUCACAAAAAUGUUUAGCUUUUUAAGACCAAUAGGUCUUUAUUAAUUAUAUUCUCAUAUUAUUCAUAAUGCAAAUAAUUAUUUAGAAGUUAUAUAAUAUAAAAUUGGCAAAUUAGAUAAAAAAGUUCAACAUUUUGCGUUUUAUAACCCUUUAUGGCCUAACAUUCUACUUGUAUAACAAAGCCUAACCUUUUCAAUUCUUUACAAUUAUAACUAAACAACAAAAUUGAUUUUAACAUACUUAAAUUCAAUACAAUCAGCAGUUUCAUAAUAACAAUAUGCAACAACCAUCUGCAUCAACAUCCUCAACUGCACCAUCUGUACUAGUACCAUUUGAAGCAAUAGCAGCACCCUCAAAUGCACUAUCUAUAGCAGUCUCAAUUGCAUCACAACCAAUAACAUCAUCUGUAUCAACACUACUACGAGCAGUUAGUCCAAUUGCCAAGUUAAGUCUACUGAAUUUAAAUUGGUCAAAAUCAAUUUAGAAGUCUAACUAUAAUUGCAACUAAUUGAAAAGGCAAACUUUAUUAUACAAAAUUAGAAGGUCAGAGAAUAAGUGUGACAACACGCAAAAUUAUAACAUAAUACAUAUAAAAAUUGCUAGUUAGUUAUCAUUUUAGGGUUCAUUCUACUUUUAGAGUAUAUUUAUUCAUUUGUUCAAUUCUUAUUUAUUUAUUGUACCAUGUAGGAUUGUUUAUGUAGUACAACAGUUGUACUAUAUAAUAUAAUUUUUCCAUGUGGAAAGGCUUCUCUUUAGCAUAGCUUUAUAUAGAUAUAUAAAUAUAGAUUGGCAAACAUAAUCCUAAGUUUGCAAUGUGAGAUGACUUUAUAAGCAAUAAUGAUCAGAACAAAUUGUUAGGAAAGAUUUUAGUUCAAGCAUGAACUUGGUUUUACUUGAUUCUUACUAUUUUUCUUGGUGAUUUUUAUCAAAUUUAUGUCAGAUUUAAUUAAGGAAAAGCUGAAAUUAUUAUAUGCUAAUUCAUAAAAACCACCUCCAUCUUGCAGAAGAAUUUGAAUACCUGGCCACUUCUGAUUUAGCUUGGAGAAGCAUAACAGACUUGGCAAGAUAUGUACAUAUGGGUAAAACAUCCACAUGCAUACUAAUAUAAAGUUAAAUGCAUUAAAAAGGAGAAAAUUUUGGAAAUUAUCACAGGAAGAAAGAUGGCAAUUUUUACAUUAUGAUUAUGAUUCCUACAUCAUGCAACAACAAAGAAGUUUCCAGGCAGAAUUAGGGUGUAAUAGACUUAAAUGCCCUUGAGAUUGGAUACCUUUACUAAAGCAUGGAAGUUCAUGGAAUAACCACUUGACUCCAAAGGCAAAAGUAAAAGAUAACCAACAAAAGCAAAAGACAGAAGCUGCUCUUCUAGAAACCACCUGGUACUGGGCAAAUUUUCAAGAAAUGGAAGGGAGGCCUAACCGUACCAAUCAAAAAGAGGGAUGGAAGAAAAAACUAGGAGGAAACUAUGGUGCAAUCUAGAAACUAUCCAAGAAGAUGAUGGGUGAGUAAUUUGGUCACCAACUCUUGACCAUGGAACNNNNNNNNNNNNNNNNNNNNNNNNNNNNNNNNNNNNNNNNNNNNNNNNNNNNNNNNNNNNNNNNNNNNNNNNNNNNNNNNNNNNNNNNNNNNNNNNNNNNNNNNNNNNNNNNNNNNNNNNNNNNNNNNNNNNNNNNNNNNNNNNNNNNNNNNNNNNNNNNNNNNNNNNNNNNNNNNNNNNNNNNNNNNNNNNNNNNNNNNNNNNNNNNNNNNNNNNNNNNNNNNNNNNNNNNNNNNNNNNNNNNNNNNNNNNNNNNNNNNNNNNNNNNNNNNNNNNNNNNNNNNNNNNNNNNNNNNNNNNNNNNNNNNNNNNNNNNNNNNNNNNNNNNNNNNNNNNNNNNNNNNNNNNNNNNNNNNNNNNNNNNNNNNNNNNNNNNNNNNNNNNNNNNNNNNNNNNNNNNNNNNNNNNNNNNNNNNNNNNNNNNNNNNNNNNNNNNNNNNNNNNNNNNNNNNNNNNNNNNNNNNNNNNNNNNNNNNNNNNNNNNNNNNNNNNNNNNNNNNNNNNNNNNNNNNNNNNNNNNNNNNNNNNNNNNNNNNNNNNNNNNNNNNNNNNNNNNNNNNNNNNNNNNNNNNNNNNNNNNNAGAAGACUCUUCACCAGUAUAAAUAAGGUGGCAUAGGAAAAUUCACAGAAUGAGUUUUCACAACCUCCAUGGGGCGGGGAGCACCAAAGGUUGAAAAGCCAACAUUCCCAGGUGCAAAUGUAACUCUUCCAGGUAGUGUAAUCCCAUGUAUACCCCAUCGGCCCGCAUAAAUUAGAGCUCCAUAUUCAUCAACAGGGCUCACAGCAGGCUGAAUGAUGAAAAGAAUACAAAAUCAGGAACAUUUCAAUCAUCACUAACUUUCGGCAAGGAAAUCUACCAAACAAUUAGUACUUUGCUAUCCAGAAACUGUGCUACAAUGAGCAAAUGAAAAAGCAAAAGACCAGACAGGAGAAUAAUAUCCCAUAAACCUUAAUUCUUUACACUACUUUUUGCAGAACUUAAAUGAAUAACCUCUGCUAGAAGUAGAACAGCGAACUAGUCAGCAGUACCAAAAUAUAAAAGUGGAGCAAUCAAUCAAAGAAAGACGCCAGCAGACCAUAAAAUUGCAUUUUGUUAACACACAUAAAUAAUUAUCCUUCUUGGCCUAGCUGAUAUGCAGAUUUUCAUUUGUAACAUGUUUUAUGUGUGCAUCCGUGUGUUAAAUUUAUGUAUACUACUUGAUACAAAUAAAAUGUGCAUUGAUGCUAGGACAAAAAGCAAUCAAGAAAAAAUCAUUAUUCACCAUGGAGAUCAAGAACUCACUUGAGAUAUUCGUGGAGCACUUUUGUAUAUAUCCCAAAUUUUGUCAGCUUUUAUCUCUCCCUUCUCAAGUAAAAUAUCUGCAUAAAGGAAAGGCAUCAAGUAAGAGAUGUUAUCUGUUAUGAUUCCCAGUUACAGAUUGGGUCGCACGAAGAUGAACUGGAAAUGAAAUCCUUGGAGGAAGCAUUUAAUACCUUAGACUCGUUAAAAUGAGAGUUCUAAAUUUGAAAUGUGUUUGUAAUUAAUAUGCCCGUUCUAUUGAAUAAAGAGAAACCGCUUAUAUAAUGGAGAUUUAUACAAUUAUAGUACUUCUAAUUAAAGUAGAAGCAUGAUACAAGCAAUCAUUAGAUAAGAAACUCUUAAGAUAAAGUAAUAAGAAUAUAAUAAAACAAUACCUGAUAAUGCAAUCUGUUUGUUGCUAAUAAACUGUAAUCUACUAUAGCUGAUAGGCUUUUUCAAUUUGGACUAUGUUUGAAGAAUGGAUUAGGUCUAUUGUUAUCCAUAACAUUACAGUUUUAUGCAUACAACUAAAAAUUAUAAUUUAUAGUCAAUUUUUUAGUAAUUUAAAAAAACCUAAGCAAAUCCACAGGCAUUAAACAAGUAUUAAAAUAAAGACAAACAACUAAAAUGACCUGUAAUUGUCUCUACAGCUGACUGGUAUUCUCUUAGCACUGAUGUACAUUUUUCAACAGAAUAACGCAUGUAUUCAUCCCGAAGUGCUUCAAGUUUUGCUGCAAGCUGUAGUAAAAACGAAAUGACAAAUGCAUUACGUUACUUUAAAAGCUCAUGAAAAUGCAAACCAAGCUUGCAACAAAUUCAAUAUAAAGAUCUUCAAAUUGUACAUUGGGCACAAGAUCACUAUGAUUCCUAUAGAAUGCCUUCCCAAAUGCUGUCAUCCCAGUCUGCAGAAUCAAACGCUCUGCAUGCCUUGAAGCUUCUAAUGUUGCUUUUGAAGAGAUCCAACACAAAUUGUCCACCCCAAACAUCUCCUCCUCAAUUACUCUAGCUACAUAACAGAGAAAUCACGGAACCCUAUUAAAUUCAUCAAAAACAUCAAUGAGAGAAUACAAAAAAAAGAACAAUAAACAAGCGAUGUGUUAUCAUUUAGCAACCUAAUUUUACAUCUGCCUUGGACUUAAAGAGAGUACUAAGUUUUGGUUUUGUUCCUUCUGCAAAUCUGCUAUAAAAGCAUUUGGUUUAUGCCAUAUUUAUUGCUCCCUUUUGGUCGUGGUAAGGUUAGAUCUUCCUUCUCCAUGUUGUUUUGUGCUAGGUAAUGAAGUUAUUGAUAUGUGGAUAGAGAUCAUGGGUUCAAUCUCUUCAUUUGAUGUAUUUUUGGCCAUUAUAUAGGAUUUCUUAUUUUUAUUCGAGUCCUUGAAUAUCAAAUUUUGUUAGUGCAUUUUGCAAUUUUAGUAUUUUACAAUUAGUUUUGUUUAGAGAUAGGAGCCAUUUUGUCAUGUCUGCAAUGAUAUAAAUAAUUAAAUAAUAAUAAUAAUAAUAAAUAAUUAAAUAUCAAUAAAUUAUAUAAAUUAUAUAUACUAUGUAAUAGAAUAAUCUAUAAUAUUAUUUGAUAUAGAAUAUAAAUAUAGAAUACAAUUGUAAUAUAGAAUAUAGACUAAUAAUAUAAUAUAUAAUAAUAAUAAAAUAAAAUAAUAAUAAAAUAUUUCAAUAUAACAAAAGAAGUUAAUAUUAGUCUUCUAUAAAUAACCAUUAUUUGUUAUUAUUACUAGUAUCAAUAUUAAACUUCCAUCGCACGUUACUAAUACCAAGAUAAUUUAUUAUAUAUUACUAACACCAAGGGAAAAAGUGAGAAAAGUCAAAAGAUUCCAACAUCUCUAUUUCUUCCAAGGAAAAAAGGUGAACUUUAACUAUUACUAAAAUCACUUUCUCUUCCAAGGAGAUCAUCUUCUUCCUUCUCUUCUUCUUCUCCUUCUUCUGUUCAACUUCUUUUUUCUUUGGCUGUUGAAGGAACAAAGAAAAAAACAGCUAUUUUACAAAGGUGGUGCCUCAAACACCUAGCGCCUCUCGCCUUUGUCACCUAAGCAUGCCUCACCCAGGCAAUGCGAGGAUGCUUCACCUAGCCUUGCCCGACACCUUUUCACGUGUUUAACAACACUGACCAAGAAGUAACUUGUAAACUUGUAUUUGCAAAGAAAGGCAACAAAAUAGCUUUAGAUCUAGGAUCUAACUUUCCAGAAGAUAACCAAGUAACGUUAAUGUGAUGACCUUUAUAUAUCAGUUGUUACAUAACAUAAUGAUCUAAAACUAUGUUCAGUGAUUAGAAGAUAUCAAAUGGCAAUCUAAAUGUAGAACUUCCAAUUGCAUAGAAAAACUGUGCUUCCACCGAUAAAAUGUGUCUUUCAAUUCGUAAGACCUUCUCUUGGCCUAGAACUACUCUUAAGUUGGAGACAGGCAUACAAACAGGAAAACUUCAUCAGAACCACAUCCUACGAAAGCUAUAUCUGUCAAGAUACCUGUUGAGAUUAUUUCUGUAAAUAGCCUAAAUUUGUAGUGAUAAUUAGGGAUAUGAUUAUGUGAUAUGAUUAAAAUAUGAUUAGAC
RNAcentral lists this long non-coding RNA (73513 nucleotides) under Manihot esculenta (cassava). RNAcentral describes it as "long non-coding RNA (MESC_LNC007881)". Lineage: Eukaryota; Viridiplantae; Streptophyta; Magnoliopsida; Malpighiales; Euphorbiaceae. The record is from RNAcentral.